Molecule: long non-coding RNA, 46762 nt
Filed under: Phoenix dactylifera (date palm)
Lineage: Eukaryota; Viridiplantae; Streptophyta; Magnoliopsida; Arecales; Arecaceae
Description: long non-coding RNA (PDAC_LNC002843)
Source: RNAcentral
GGCGGUGAGGGAUAGAAGCGGUGGCCGCGAGCGCGGUGACGGGUGGCCACGGGAACAGGGUACCUGCAAAGGGGUUUUUCUUUCUCCUCUAGUUUGAACCGAGAGAGAAAGAGAGAUUCCUUUUUUUUUUCUCUGGUGAAAACCGACAGAGGGGAGGGAGGGCCUGGUGAACACCGAGAAAGAGGAAAAAAAAGGGAACGCUGGAUCGUGGCUUUGGCAGCAGUGGCAAAGCCGAGGCUCUGAUACCAAGUUGAUGUAGAACCUAUUCCAGAAGAAGAGGGAGAAGAGAAGGAGGAAGAGGAGGAGAAGAAGGAGAAGAGAAGAAGAGAGGAGGAGGAUACGUGGGGGAGAAAAUUUCUUAAACUUUCAUUAAACCCUAAUCAUGAAAAUAGAUCCCUAUAUAUAGGGCCAAAAUACACAAUUUGCAUAAAUCCCCUUACACAGAAAUAAAUCCUAAUAAACCCACAAAUAACACAAAUAAGCCCUAAAAUGCAAACAAGCCCAGAAAUAAAAUAAAUAAAAUAAAUAUGCAAAUAAACGAGUCUGGCUCAAUCCGGAGGCUCAGGAUCAUCUGGAUGAAGGGCUCUGAUGUCCCCAUCAGGCAAGUAAUCUACCCUGGGAUUGGGAGAUAAAUGCAACCAGCUACUCUCAAAGAUUAUUCUAAUCCUCAGUGUGAGCAAGUAUAAUGCAAGUAUGGUCAUAAUCAGACACAACGCGUUCGCUUACAGCCUUUCAGCACUUCUUUCAAGGUCUAUAAAGUAGCUCCAGAUUAUGCUAUUGCUAGUAUCCAGGACCGCUGAGGACCCCCCUUAUUUUACUCAGGAUGUUUGUUAGUGUUGGACACAAGAUGGGCAUUUCAUAUACAACUGGUUCAUUAUAAGUAGGAUAAAUCUGACCAUAAUUGGGAAAAUAGUGAUCCAUUGUUGACAAAAGUGCACUUUUUCACUGCCUCAUGUUCGCUAAAUGUCAAGUUCUAGAAAAAAUAAUUACAUAUAUGUACGUAUUCAUGCAAUGGGGGGGUAAUAGCUGAGGAUAUAUUCCCAACCAAAGUGCCUGCAAAUUGCAAGUGUUUUGAAACCAUAGAAGAUUUUCUGAUACGUAGAAAUUCAGGACAUCAGGCAGUUGUUAGAGCUGAAUUUGUAUGGACGAUCAUUCAACUUCGUAUUCACGUUAUCUGACAUGGAUAAGUUGAUAGGAUCUUCACUUGGUUAAAUUUUAUUAUAGAAAUGAAGAAUAAGACCAUGUAGUUGAGCAUGUGCAUGUUUCUUAGCGUGGAAUCAAUCUAGCAGCUCAUGGACCACGACCUUCUCCUCUAUGACUCUGAGGCGUGUAAUGUUCAGGUCCAGCAAGCUACCAUUAAAAAGGAGAGGUUUUUAUAUCAUGAACUCAUCAAUCAGUCAUAGCUAUCUAUUAUGUUAAAAAUCACCAUGUAACACAACCAUAAAGAGUAAUUGAAACUAGCAAAGUCCUUACACACAGUCACUUCUACACGCUUAGCUGGAAAACAAUAAAAACAUAAAGCGUUAGUUUUAGAAUUUUAAUUCACAAGUAAAAAAGCAUUUUUAGUACUCUAUUUCAUAAUAAGCUUAAGCUUGCAUCCGAACAUAUUAUCCACAAAUAAAACUUCAAGAUGAAACAAGAUCAUAUAAAUAUCUAAAUAGAGAGCAUAAAAAGAAAAAAAACCGAAUUCCCCUGGCGAACCCAAGUACCAGAGAGCAACCCUAGAUGGAAGCAAACCCUUCCACUUUAGACAACCAACAGGAUCUACCAAGACCUAACCUAGAAUCCAGUUCGUUUAGGAAAAGCCACAGAACCCUAAAACCCUUUCAAUGAGAAUCCCUAAACCCUAAUAUCACCGACUAGAGAGGGAAAGGGGUAAAAGGAAAAAAAAUAGAAUAGCCUAUUGCUGAUAGACAUAACCGAGAGGAGAAGAAGAAGAAGAGAGAAUACCUUCGGCGAUUUCAAGGAUUGAUAGGAGAGGAAAGAAGAUGGCGAAGGGGAACGACGCCGCAAGAGCAGAAGCUCGCUUCCAGCAACAACGCGUCGGUGGGCGACCCCGGGUGUAGAAGAAGAUAUACUCAGGCAGGUCGAAAUUACCAAAAUAACCCUGAUGUCCACCGAUGGUUCCCCGUCGGACCCGACCCGAAUCCCGAGCCUGAACACAGCAAACCCAUUUGGCCAGGUUGCACGGAGUCCUGAAUCAGUCCUGCUGUCCCGACCGGACCCAACACAAGACCCACAUGUCACGUAAGGCCCAUCUAAUGGACAAUGGUAUUUCUGCAUAAAUUUGAAAUCCGAGUCCUAGAGUUAGCUAAUUUGGAUUGGUUACAUGUCAAACAACAGGCUGUUUGGUUGCAUGCAUCUCUAGUUGCAUCUCCAACCAAAGAUUAUUAUUAUUGUAUUCCAGCUUCGCUUACUCUUCUUCCAGGAGUUGUACUUCUUUGUAGAUGUCANNNNNNNNNNNNNNNNNNNNNNNNNNNNNNNNNNNNNNNNNNNNNNNNNNNNNNNNNNNNNCAUACAUGCAUCCAGGGCAAGCUUAACUUCUUCUUCAAAGGAAGAAAUCUUGACUUCUAGAUCAUCGGUGGAAGUAGUUAUGGCAUCUAUUUCCUUGGUCACGUCAGCCAAUGGAUGGUGAAUAUUAGAAAGGUUGGCCAUUCUAUGACAAAGAUCAUCAGCUUGAGUUGCUGGGAGGUAGACUGAAUGUUGAAGGGUUGAGUUGCAUUUGAAAAUUUGGUUAUGCUCUCUAGAAAAACCAAUUCAUUGAUCGGGGUGGUGGGAAAGUGAUGCAAAAGCAACAACUACUUAGCCAUCCUCACUUCUAUAGUACUGCAGCUCACAAAUUUUUUUUUACUCUAUCUUGGACUAUAACUCUCAGUUUUUCCCCCACUUUUUAUAAAAGAUCUCUCUAUUACCUCAGAUGCCGGAUUCGGGUUGGAAAGAAGUAAGCGGGGACUGGACAGGCGGAGGCGGCGGCGGCGAGCCGAAGGAUAGAAGGGUCUCAAAGCCGAGGAAAAUUAGGAAUGGAAAUUGAAGGGCUGAGGAUCGACCGAUCGGGGGGAAAUCACGGAUGGAUCCGAUCGGGCGAACGGCUUGGUUCCGGCUCGGGUUCACCAACCAAAACCGAAGCGCCGCUCGGUCCGAGUCCAAACUCAAACUAGCUUAGGGUCUAGUUAGAUUUAGGCUCCGAUGGGGCCUCGGGCUUGAUUCCGAGCUUAAUUUCAGGCUAGAUUCAGCCUAGGAAUUGUUAUUUCAUUAUAAACCCACGUCACUGUUUUCAACAUUAAUUUAAAUUUCUAAAAUCUGAAAUAUGCAUUACAACAUAGCAAUAGAAAUAAUAAAAGAAAUCUCAGUUGACAUAUUAAAACUGUAAUCUAAGAUAACAAUUGAUUUAGCUAGAGAUGAUGAUUUGGACUUUGGAGAAAAUUUGACAAGUUCAUCAAAAGUUCGAAUAACCAAAGAUUAAUAACAGAAUAAUAAAACUGAAAAAUAUAAGCUUUCUGAUUUAUUUAUGCAUUUAUCUAUUUAAUUUUUAAUAUAGAAGAGCCAAGGAUAACAAAUAAUGGCAGAAAGCAUCACUCCUAAAAAUAAUAUAUGGUAUCAUUAAUUUGUAAACAUAAAAUUUAUUAAAUUUGUCAUGAAUUACUAGCAAUUAGAUUGCAAAAUUUAUGUAUAAUUCAAGAAUAAUUGAGUAGCUCUGAAGCUUAUUUGUUUUUGGAGAUGGUUCAAAAAAAUCAUUGAACCAUGAGAAAAUCUAGAAUAUUUAAGAAUUAUUUAACGAUUCAGAGAAUAUUGUAAUCAUAGUCAUUUUGCCUCUGAUAUGUAUAGCCUGGUGACACGUCCACAUGGUUUACAGAUCCUUCGGUACUCAGCUAUCCAGGUGGCGGACUACUGGUACAAAAAUUAACAGGAUAUCAGGUAGAAUAUCUUGGCCAAUAGCUAUAGACAGAAUAAAAGAUCGAUUUAAUCAUAAAUUUCAUUAAUGAUUCAGAGAACAUUGUAAUUAUGGUCAUUUUGCCUCGUAUAUGUACAGCCCGGUGACUCAUGCGCAUGCUUUGAGGUUCUUCGGUAUCUCAGCUAUCCAUCCAGGUGGUGGACAACUGGUAACAAAAUUACCAGGAUAUCAGGUUGAAUAUCUUGGCCAAUAACAAUAGAUGGAAUAAAAGAUUAAUUUAAUCAUAAAUUUCAAUAUUGGAGUAGAAGAAUUUUUGCGAAGAUAUUGGUCCUAUACUGAUUGAAGUGAUUAUAACUCAGUUGUUUAUAUAAUAAUAAUUAGAAGAAGAAGAAGCAAAAACACUUUUUCGAUAAAGAAAAGCGAAUGUUUGCCUUACAUCAAGAGCACAAAAAUACCUGCAAAAAAUACCGCACUAUGAUUUUAAACGUUUAUUAGCUUGCAAGAACUAGUAGAAGCAACAACCACCUAUGAUACUUCCAAACAGUAUCACUGUCAAAAUAAAUCCAAUGGAAUUAGAUUUCCAUGCCUCGUUAUAGAAUUAAAAUGAUCUUGAAUUUAUCAUAUCCAAAAAUAAAUAAAAAUAUCAAUCCGGAAGCUAGACAGGAGACAACGAUUCUGUAGGUGACAUUACAGACAUUUGCUAUAGGAAAAUAAGAUAAAAGUAGACAACAAUCGCUAGAAGCCACAAAUACGGCAUGCUUUGCAACAGAAUCAACAAAGCUAAAGAUUGGAUAUUGAAAAUUCUACUAGAGAGACGUCCCUCUUCUCUAGUUUGGCAUCUUCAACAUUGUGGAUCCAAGUACCAUGCUUAUGGUUUGCCCCAUGAGUUAGCAAGACGAGCUAUUUAACAGUUGGGAUUUUAUUUUAUUCACUCAGUUGCUCACAUGAGCAAGCAAUAUGCAUCAUGUGCUAGUUUGCUAACAAGUUAUGAGGCAGCACCAACUCGGGUGUACCCUACAAACAUUCCUUUCGGAACUCAGAACCCUUCUGCAGAAGCAUCACCAUCAUCCUCAUCACCACUGCCAUAUGUUUCAAGAUCAGCUUCUUCAACUUCAUCCUGGCAUUGGAAAAAUUGUAUCCAUCAGAUGACUAUUAACGAAAAACCAUGUAUUACAUGCAAAUUAGUUCUGGCAAAGAACCCAUAUAAUUAGCUGCUGUGUACUGCUACAAAUUUGCUAGUUCAUGAUCAACUAACAGAUCAUUUGUCCAAUUAAACAUGAUAUAAAAACCCAGAUAUCUGGAAAUUAUAUAAUCAGUCUAGUAGAAUUUCAAGAACGAAGAAAAUCAAUUGUUUUAGCAUUUGUUCUAGGCUUAUAACUGUAAAGUUAUCUAUAGAUUUACAACCAGCCUAUAACUUCAGUCAUCUACCAUAGAUUGGCAAUCAGACAGAACCUGCUUAUCAAAUUCGCUACCAAAUUGGAAAUGCUGAAAAUCAGACAUACACAUGUGACUGGAAAAAUAAUAUAGCUUUAUAGUAUCAAAACUCAUGAUCAGGCACGUAUGCAGGAAGCUGCAAUCAAGACUGAAGUUCAAGUAGUUUGGAAGAGGUCAUUAGCAAUAGGCAAAAUCCCAGCACUUAGAUGCUCGAAAAUUUAUUGACAAACUUUGCAUCCUCACCUCCACAUAAUCAUCAGAAAAUAAGCAUCAGUAAGCUGCAAAUCCAAUUCCUUAUUGCCUGAUUCCUUGUCAGCCUUUAUUUGAUUCCACAGGAAACAACGAGGAAAAUAAUCAGCUCUAAGAAAGAUUAACAUUUCUCAAGCAUCUACUGAAGUCCCAAGCUAUAGUAAUUAAACCAAAAAAAAGAAUAUUUCGGUCCUGCAGAUUUGAAAUACAUUGGUUCAAUGCCUGAAAAUUUCCAUAUUAGUAAAAGAGAGGAAUCAUCACAAAGAACUCCCCCUUCCUAAUAUCGACUUGCCAAUUGCCAAGGGCUUGACAUAUCAUUUAUACAAUGCCAUAUCAACCAACAUAUAUAUUUGCUUGUGUUACCAAUGUUUCACAUAUUCAGUAGCAUCUUGGGGCUCAAAAUAUUGGGCUGUAAAAUGUCCAUUGAAGCACAAUGAUUAUAUUGUGGUGGAACAUUUAAUAAAGUUGAUUCUUAAACAAAAACAGAAAAACCUGUGUAAAAGGUUACCCUUCUUCUCAAAAUCCUUCCACCACAAUUCUGUAUAAGAAACAAGUGAAACUGUCAAACAGAUAUGCAGAAUAAGACUUAUCUGACAGUGUCAAUUGAAGUUUUUAACAAAUAAAUAUGGUUUUAUGUUUAUAGUUUUUGGUUUCAAUUCAUAAGUAUACCUAUUCUUGUUCUAAACUAAUUAAUCAGGCUAAGAAAAGACAUUCUUUAGAAAUUCAUGGAAAUUUAAGUAACAUUAAAUUGAUAUCCACUUUAUUAUAUAUUUAAGAUUGUAUAUUUUUUAUCUUUUUUUCCUCCCUCAUGAGCUUAAAUAGUUAAUAUAAUCUAUUAUAUCCUAUAAUUUUAUCAUCACUUAUAUGUAUACCUGCAUAACUGGGAUGAAAGAUUUCAUUAUGAAAGAAUGUUCUUUAAAUGCUCCAGUUCUGCAACAUUAAAAGUAAAUCAAUAAAAGAGGGAAACCUCUGAAGUCUUAACUAUUCCGAGCUUUUUCAACCCAUCUUUCAAUUGAUUUGGCACAUGCUGUUGUCACAUUCAGUACCACUUAAUGAUAAAGCAUAUCUGCAUUAGUACAGUACAUAACAAUAUGUUGUGGCCAUUUUGGGUUUGGCAAACCUUGCAUGAUACUUAGGUCAUGCUUCUCAUUUUUCAUUGCAUGCAUUCUUAAUGCUGGGAUUUGUAGAUGCCUUUGUAAUUCUCAACUAACAAGUAACAAUAGAUGUAGUAGAUUAGGUCUUCCACUAGUUCUAACAAGAAAGAGAGGCUUCAUGACCUAUCUUGAUGCAACUUCAGCUUAAUGUCUUAAAAAUUUUGCAACAUUUUGUGCUAGUGCAUCCAAGCACUUGGCUCAAUACAAUAGAACUUGGUGCGGUCAAUUUAAAAUUUACAGAUUCUGGUACCAAUAACAAUACAUUAAACUUAGCUUGUCAUUCCUUUAGACAUGCCACUAAUGCAAAUCUAGAGUCUCAAUGUAGUUUCCUCACUAUCAAGAAGAUGAUGAGUUUUGCCAGCAUCAAACCCAUAUUUUUUUAGCUGAAUAGAAUGAUCAAAAAUGAUGCAACUUACUCAGGGUGUAAAUAGUGCACUUUAAGACAAAUUUAUUUAUGUUUGGAUUUGAUUGGCAUAUUUUGAUAGCUUAGUAGACAUAGCAUUUAUGCGAAUAACUUAGCCAAGUACAAGAUAUUAUAAAUGAAAAGUCUAUCAUACUAAUCAAUAUCUUGCAAAUACAUAGAUUUCUCACCAUGGUGCCCACUCCCAUCACAUAGUUUGGAACUAUUCUGUCCUUUUUCCAUAGUCCACAUAAUAAUGCUGUUCAAACCAGCUUCAUUUAAUAGGAUUUGCAGAUAUUGACUUCUCAAUUUGCUCGCUAACUAUGUUCACCUGCAAAAUUUGUUAGAAUAAUGAUAGUCCUUGGAACAAGGUUUUAAAGAUCAAUGCUGAAUUCUGUACUGUUUGUCUCCUCAAAACAAUACAGUAUCGGAACUACAUAUCGAAACUGAAAGAUUCUAAAUAAUUGAAAAACUUUUAGUACCGACCAGUACACUGGUAUGGUACUGCUAGCGUGCACCGAUAUGGACCUACAUAGACAGGUAUGGCUCCAUACUAAUACAGCUAUUUCAACAUACUGGCUCCUACACUAGUGCUAGUUUCAAGCUAGAACAGUAUAUUAUCUGCCAUACUGUCCCUUGUCGGCAAUUUUUUAAACCAUGCCUUGGAAGAUGCUAUUGAAUUGUAGUGUUUGUCAUAAAACCAAGAGUAAUAUGACUUGUGCUGUUGUGCAUCUAUUUAGAAAAUAGUAAUAUGAGGUUAACUAAUUUAGCUCAUAUUGUAGAUUCAGCACAGACUACAUAGUCCAUGAUGUAUUGCUUCACAUUUGCCUUAAGUGUCUGAGAAAUAAUGCAUUUACCUCAUAUUGUAGAAUUGCCACAAACUACAUAGUCCAUGAUGUAUUGCUUCAUAUUGCCUUCAUAUUUUCCAUGAUGAUGAGAAAUAAGGCAAGGAGGUACAAUCCUGGUAACAUGCCAUACCACCAUAGCUCUAUUUUUAGGCUUAGAAGCAACAAAAAAUGAACUAAUCCUUGCCGCCCCUCUUAUUUCGGUUUUUUUUUCCAAAAGAUUUUAUACUGCAAAAGCAACUUUUUUCAUAGCAGUGUUCUUUACUCUGCAUCAGAACAAUGACACUUGUUAUCUCAAUAGAAGUGUUGAUAGCUUGGUGUCAACGACUAACAGCUCCGUGUUCCAUUCCCAGUAAAUGCAUGCUCUCUUCAAGCAAUGAUUGCAAAAUCCAAGAGGCCUUAGAAGUUGUUCCGUUAUGUAAGUGUUGAUCUAACAAUCUUGUGUAUUUAAAAGCUAUCUCAAGUUCAUUCUGCUGAAAAUGGCAAGAAAGAAUGCUCUUCCACUCUGCUGACUUUCCUUCUGCACAAAUUCCAUGGAGAAGGAAAAGAAAUGUGAUGGAAUUGGGCAAACAGCCUUUUGCAACCAUCUUGCCUCUCAACUCCAAUGCCUUUGUGACCAUUUGAUGUUUGCAAAGACAGAAAAUUAUAGCAUUAUAUGCUGCACUCCUGCGAUCCCAUCCAUCAGAUAUCAUAUUCACAAAGAUGUCUAAGAAUGCAAUCUUGCUGUUGCCUUGAAGAUCAGUAGCACAAGUGGAAUCAAGAUAUGGAGUACUAUUAAUAAGACCAUUAAUUAAAUAAUGGAAUGUAACAUCAUUAGGAGGGCAUUUAUUAGAUAACAUUUCUUCAAAGAAUGCAACAGCUCUGGUGAUUUGUUUAUUUUUACAAAAGCUGCCAAUCAGAAUACUAUACGUGACAACAUUAGGAAUAAGACCAUGAGACUGCAUAUUAUUAAAGAGAAUUUCUGCAGUAUCAAUAUCCCCUUUUCGACAAUACCCAUUGAUUAAAGCAGAAUAUGUGACUACAUUUGGUUUGCAUCUCCGCUUCAUCAUGUCACCAAAUACCCUUAAAGCCCCAUCCAAAUCACUUUGUUUCGCGUAGCCAUCUAUAACUGUGGUAUAUGUGAAUUCAUCUGGGCAAUAUCCAUCCCUCCUCAUGCUAUUGAUGCAUAAAAUUGCAUCAUUCAUCAUUCCAAAUUUACAAUACCCUUUGAUCAUAGCAUUGUAGCCGACAACCCCAUGUCUAAUGCCCUUCUGUCCCAUGAACUCAAACACCUUCUUUGCCUCGCUCAAAUCCUCAUUUCUGAUGAACCCAUCAAUCAAUGUAGCAUAAACAAACUCAUCUGGGAGGAUAUUUUGAUCAAGCAUCUCAGCAAGCAGCUUUUUGGCAGAGGCAAGCAUCCCUUUCUUGCAAAGUCCACUUAUUAGAAUAUUGUGAAUUCCAGCAUCUAGAGUUACUCCCUUCUCUAUCAUCUUCUCUCGAAUUGCCAAUGCAUCAUUUAUCUCCUGCAUGAGAACAAGUCCAUGAAUUAGAGCUGCAUAAAUUACCAGGUCAGGCUUAUGUCCUUUCUCCAUCAUCUCAAUGAACAAAUUCGAUGCCAUAGCAACCUCCCCAUUUUGGCAAUACCCAUGAAUGAUAGGAGUAUAACUAAAUUUAUUCAGAUCCAACCUCCUCUUAAUGGCCUCCCUCAGAAGAAGCUCAGCCUCUCCAACAUUUCCACCCUGACAAAGCCCAGAAAUUAAAAUAUUAUAUGUUACAAUAUCCGGUUCACACCCACUUCCAAUCAUCUGCCUCAGAACUGCUUUUGCCUUAACAACUGAGCCAUGCUUACACCAAGCAUCAAUCACAUUAUUGUAAAUUUGCACAUUCGGCCACAAUCCCCGUGCUUUCAUCUCCGAAAAAAAUUUAUUUAUCUCGACAAAGUUCCCCUUCUUGCAGAACCCAUUAAUAACAAUACCAUAAGAUACCAAUGUCGGCAGGAAUCCCUUCAAUUUCAUCUCCCUAAAAAGCUCUAAGCCCCUCUUCAUGUCACCAUUCCUGCAAUACCCAUCAAGAAGAGUGUUAUAGAAGACGACAUUCGGGGUACACCCGGCUCCCCAUCUAUGUUCAAUCAAGUUCUUGGCCUCGUCCAUCCUCCCUUCAAUACACAAACCCCUGACCAUUAUACCCGUGCUGUAGUUAUCCGCCCCACCAUCUCGCUUAAGCAUUUCAUCAUACACCUGACGGGCCAGAUCACAAUGGCGCCGCUCUACAAGCAACUUGAGCAAACAAUUGCAGUCAGACACAUCAGGAAAAGAACCAAGCUGAUCUCUCAUAGUUCUGUAGACAUCCAAAGCCUCCUCUUCAAGUCCAGAAUCAGAAUAUGCGGCGACGAGAGCGCCCAAGGCCUCCCGAGUCGGGGUUCGUUCCUCGCUCCUCAUGGUCUGAAGCACGAGCUCAAUCUCCGGAAACCGGCGGGCUUUGGCCAGGAUCCGGAGGAGCGUCGAAUAGGAUAGGGAGUCCGGCGGGUCGGCCCACGGCGGGCGGCGUCGGCGGGCCCAGUCGAAGAAGGCGAGGGCGGAGUCGGGGUCGGGGAGGCGCGCGAGGACGGGAGCAAUCGCUUCCUCUUCUUCUUCCUCGAGGGAGAAGGCAUCGUCGAGGGCUCGCUCCCAGUGGGGAUUGGUCUCGCGGGUGCGAAGGAUUUGGGCGAUCGAGUCGGCGACGCGGCGGAGGCGGGAGCUGAGGAAGGAUUUGAAGGGGUUUUGGCGGGGCUUUUUGAUGGGAGGGAGAAGAAAGAGUUUGGACAUAUGAAACAAGUUUGGGCACGGAGGACUGAAUGAGCGAGAGGAGCAGCAGCAGCUGCCGCUUGUGUAUAUUAACCACCUCCGAGAAUCUCAUAUUUGUUAUGAGCCAUCAAGUAAUUUAUUCAAGUUAUUGCUUGUUUUAUUUUUUUCUCAUCGUUGAAGGUGAUUUGGAUUAAGUAGAUGAUUUCUCUGAUUCUUUCACGCAUCUCAAUGAAGAAAAUUUAAAAUCUACUAACAAAAAAUGAGAAAGCAUGAUAGAAUGAGCCAAAUCAAAGAUAAGAACUAGAUUAUAAAAAAAAAAAAGUAAAUGCGCCAACUUCAUUCUGAUUUGAAUUAAUAUAUCUUGAGUAUUCAUCUUAGUCCUUAUAUGAAUUUAUAAGAUAUUCAAAAGGAAACUUCUAUCUCUUGUUCUCGUGAUUACUUGUAUUCUUUUUCAUAUGAAAACUUAUCUAAAUAACUUUUCUAAGAUAAUUAGUUCCACGAAAAAAAUCUAAAAUAAGUAUUUGCAUAUGAUGGAGGAGUGCACUUCUAUUAGGUGUAAAUAUAGAAAUUAGAAAUUUUUAUUUUUUAUGUGGCUUCAAGAAUUAGAAUUUUAUGAGAAUUUUAAUAUUUUAUUUUAUACAGAAUCUUACUAAAAUUUUGGAUUAUCUUUAUAAAUUCAUUAUUAUAUAAUUGAGAAUACAAUUUAUACUGUUGAGUUUCAAUAAUAUGAAAUAUUAAAAUGUUCUUUCCCUCUAACUUCUUUUCCUCUUCUCUUCUCUUCCCUCCUCUCCUUCUUUUUCUGUCCUGCAUUAAUAUGGGUGAAAAGUGGAUAGCCAUCACCCUAUAUAUAUAUAUAUAUAUAUAUAUAUAUAUAUAUAUAUAUAUAUAUAUAUAGUAGUAGUAGUAGUNNNNNNNNNNNNNNNNNNNNUACUACUAUAUAUAUAUAUAUAUAUAUAUAUAUAUAUAUAUAUAUAUAUAUGUCAAUUAGGAGAGGAUAUUUAUUGUCUAGUGAAGAAAGCCUAACAUGCAUAGAGAGGUCAUUAUAUAUUUAUAUGUGUACACAUACAUGCAUACAUACAUACAUACACACACACAUACAUAUAUAUACUAUAUAUAUAUAUAUAUGUGUGUGUGUAUGUACAUAUGUAUGUAUGUAUGUAUUCAUGUAUAUACAUAUAAUGUGUGUGUGUGUGUGUUUAAAAAAAAAAGCAUGGAAAAUCUGAUCCCUAUCCCAUACCACGCAAGAGGGAGAGAACAAAGUUGCAUUGAAAGCUCUGGAUACUUAUUUUAAGCUCUACUAUUAAAUAAAAUUAUGAUAUACGAAAGAGGCUUUGAGUGACACACCUCUCCCAUGCAUUGAAGAUCUGAUGUGGCUCAGCUCAAAAGGACUUAUCCAUACACCUCUGAAAUACAACAUACGUAACCAGCACUUGUCUCUAAUUAGUACACCAUAUUGCAACUUUUUCUAAGAGAGAAACAAAAGAAUGAACACCGACAAAAAAAUAAUGUAUGUAACAUCCAUGUCCUUACCUAAAAAGACUAACCAAAAAAUAUUACUAUUGCAGGUAAUAUUACAGGUGGUGAAGACAAUAGCACUCCGAGCCAGAAUAGCCAUUCCCAAAUGAAAGGAGACAAACAUUGUGGAAAUUCCAAUCACCAGAAUAGUAAAGGAAAAAAUCGCACAUAAAUGUAGCUAUUCUCAGAUCAAAGAAAUACAGAUCUUGGUCAUAUAACUCUUGUUGAAAUGAGAUUGAGCAACAUAACAUUGUCAAAUAUAUUACUAUAUGUGAUGCCGUAUUUCUUCCUUGGGGGAAUGGCUUCAUAUAUUUCUUGAAGAUUAUUUAUGUCUCCCCAUGUGUUCUGUAUGCCCCCAUUGAUUGAUCCUGUUGGGGCAGCAAGCUUGCACAGUUCUCUCAGGACACCACCAUGAUGCACUACAAACCACUCUUGCUCCUGCCAAGCAAAUAAAACAAAUCGAAAAGGAUGCCCAAUAUCUCAUUAUUUUCGCGGAAUGCGACAUUGCAUGCAACAAAAUAUUGCUCUAAGAAAUCAACUCCUGAUAUGAAGUUGUUCUAAACAUCAGCAUGGCAGAAAAGCUGAGUAUGAGCAGACAAAAUUUCUGGGUGUAAUUGGAAAUGCAAUUACAGCAACAGAUUGACAGGAUUUGCAGAGGCAGGCAUAAGAAAAGCAAACUGCAAAUUGAUUACCAAUCAAUUACUCAACAGGAAUUCAUGGAAACACCACAUAAGCUGAAGAACUUAACAAGCAUCUAUGAAGGAUACCACAGUUGAGCUUAUGCUUGAUGUUGCUUUUCUGCGAAAGGCUUUAAAAAUCACUUACCAAGGCCAAGCAAUUGUAAGUGGGACAGCAUCAAUCAGACUUGCGCAACAAUUAGCUAGCCUGGAUUGGUCAGGUCAAGUCCAACUAGAGGUGGGUUUAUAUUGGGUUUAAAUUCAAUGAGUAAAACCAGACUUUCGAGCAGUUUUAGUCUCGUCAAUUUCGACUUCGAGGGAUUUUGGUUUGCUUUUAGGAUAAUCUGGGGUCCAAAUCUCGUGCUUUAGGCACGGUAAUUUUGAUUCCAAGUCAAGUAGCGAUCAAAACAAUCUCCUUUCUACUCUUGUGAAAUUGAGCUCAAAUAUCCAAGCUAGUCAUUUUCUAUAUCCAAGCAAUAAUAAGCAUAAAUGCUUCAAGUAUCUAUGCAUCAAAGCCAGAAUUACAGCUUCUUCGACAUGCCAGUCCCUAAGUAUUUGCUAUUCCGAAGGCACAUUUUUGUGUCUUCACUCAUAUUAUUUUAUUUACACACACACACACACACAGAGAGAGAGAGAGAGAGGUGCAGUUUAAUUAAUUGAAACUAAAUAAUUAGGACAAGGUUUAGUGGUUAUGGUCAUUGUCUAUCGUCUGGUCUCUUUUUUCCUCUCUCUUUUCCUUUUUUUCUGAAAACAAAAGAAGAUGGGGAGCCCUUAUUGCAAUUCUAGGCCUAAGCACUAAUACGGUCUAAUGUAAAUAGAUUUGCUCUAAGUAUUUCCAUUUUGAGUUUAUUAGCACUGUCGUCUAAAUAUACACUUCGACACCUUCCGAUCAUUUCCACAAAUUUAUCUGACAUUUUUAUGAAAGAAAGUUUAUUUUGACAUUUUUUUGGCUGACCAUUUCAUCUUUCUUAUAACUUUUUUUAAGGAAAUAUCCAUAUGACUUUAUAAUCCAUAAUUUUCACUCACUGCUAAUAUAUCUUUCUCUCCAUCUGUUAUCCAUAUUGGCAACUAUGAUCAGUAAUGUGGAAGACCCAGCGGUGCAACAAAUAUAAUCUAAGCAAGACAUAAGCAGAGAGUGUCAUCAUAACUUGAAGUGUUUCUCAUUUACACCACCAAGCAGUGGAAAGUUUAACCUUAGUACAUGACCAUGGCCAAAGAUUUCAAAAAGAAGGAAGCAGUGGGACAGCAAGGAGGGCAAACCCUUUAAAGAGAGGGGAAAGCAUCACAUGGUUUUGGGGCCACUGCAGAGUCGCAUCUUCGAUCUGAUAGCAGUUUUCCAGUGAGCUUCAUCACUACGCAAGCUUGCUCCCUCUUAUCAGGUGGUGGCCCCAUAUUAAGAGCCACUCAUGAAACAAAAUCUUGUUAAGUCUUUCUCAUCUGGAGCCUUCUUCAUGUGAUGUUCCCAAUUUAAAGAACCCACGCCAGGCAAAGUAGAACGGGAAGGAGAAACAAACCUAUCACUGCAAGUGCUCAGCCAUAGAUGAGAUAUCUUUGUCCGCUACAUUCUUUUUGCUCAAGAAAAGUCCAUUUUAAUGAUUUUUAAGCCUAAUGAAUCUGACGCAUGAGAAUGUUAAGAAGAAAAUGGAAGUGAAAGCAGGUAAAACCAUGUCAAUUCAGAUGCAUCUUGUAGUAUGAGAGAAGCCUUAGUGCAUGAACUAACAAUUACAAAUCCAGUCAAAUACCUAGCAUGUAAAUCAGAUGAACUGGUGAUUGAUAGCAAACAGAACUAAAAGAGAGACCCGUCAAUAAGAUGUGUCCCUCAAAUGUGAAUGCAAGGCAAAGUGAUCUGAGACAAUGAGUCAUGCCCACUCAAAGGUUUAUGCUUAACAGCUCACUUUCUUGCUCCAUUGUCGUCUGACAGAGAACUUACGAAACAAUGUUUAACUUUGUGUUCCCUCGUUGUCCACUAGAACAAUUCGACAACAAUACCUAAAGAGAUUUUUGGGCAGCAAUUAAUCUUUAAGUGCUAGCUACUUGCAUUAUUGACAGGCAGCACGAAUGAUGACAUUAGAUGAUCGCUACUAUUUAUGUUUCAAUUAAUUAACAGGCUUAAUCACAAUCUACCAUAACGAUCGAGCUAGUCUCUGUCGCAUCAAUUUGGCUUGUCCUGAUGGAUCAUUUUCUAUCAUGUCGCCAGAUCACAUUAGGAUUCAAUUCAGAUUGUGGCAUCCUUACUUUACAGUGAUUUUUGACUUGGCAUCUAUGUAUCUAGCUUAUCCAGUUUUGGAAUAUGGCACAUACCAACUCCAUAGUGAACAAUAGUAUGAUCAAAGCACAUUAAACAAUUUCGGCGAGAAACACUAAUUGCCAGAGGCUAAGUUAAUAAUGGUGCAUCCUCUUUGACAUCUUCUCUCGACGAAUUACUUGCCAUAUAUAAGCACCAGGGUAUUGCUUCCUGAACACAGCAUCUCUGCAUGAUUCACACAAAAUUUUUCCAUGAUUUGCACUUGAGUUUUGAGACCUCUUGAAGAGUCUAUAAAAUGUCACAAGUUUCUGGAGUUGUCCUGCUACAGUCAGCUGUUUUGCUCUGCUCAAAGGGGCUCUUAGCACCUCAAGGGAACCAGUUCAGGUAGCAAUCUUUUGCAAUCUUAAUAGAUGGUCUUCUAGCAGAUGGGAGAGCAUUCUUAAGAUGCAUAAUUCUUAGAACCAAGGUUUAAAUAGCAGCUGCCAUAAUGUUCCAACAGCCAUUUUAAUGAUUGUGGACCUCCUCAGAGACUUGAUGCAAUGUCAAUUUAAUUAGAAGUACUUCCUGGCCAGCUGAUAUGGCAUUUCCACUCAAAGAAGUUUUAUUGACCAAGUAGUCAUUCUGAAGAGUUCCAUACAUCUCUUCUUCACCGAAAGGUUAAUGCAGUUGCUGAUUGGGUUGCGAGAUGGGGUAGAAAUAAUGAACAGUUGAGGCUACGGAAGAGUUUUUAAUAUUAUAACAGCUAAUAUAAUUAUUAUUUUAAUAUUAAUCUAAAAGUGCAAUUUUGAGGAGAAUAGCAGUCAUUAUAGUCAUUGCAAUGGUCAUUAAUGGCUUCGGUGGCGUUCAUUGUAGCACAACAACACUGCAAUACAUGGAGGACUGUGGAUCAUAACAACUCUCCUAUCCACCAUUAAAGCAAUCUCUCAUGAUGGCAAAAGGUUGGGAGCUAAAAUUUAACUUUCAUGUGAUUCCAAACCUAGAUAAGAUCCAUCAGCAGUAAUGGAAAUUAAGUUCAAGUUCAUAUUUUUCUUGCUCCACUUUCUUCUAAAGAUGAACUGUUGCAGCAUCAGCACAACAGUGAACAUGGAUUGCUGUGCUUUAUCUGAAUCACAAGAGGAGAAUGACUUGGGACAAAAGCUACUUAACGCCAUGAAAUGGAAAUAGAUUUUUGAGAAAAGAUGGCCUCAAUUAUUAGUUUGGUGGAUGGAUGGAAGGCCAGGCACGAAGCCCAUUAUGGCAACACCCAUGUAAUGAUCAGAGAGGCACAUGCCAAACUAGCAAAGCGCGAAGGGUCCCUUUUCCUCUUCCCUCUGUUUUCCGAAGUGGUCCGGCCUCCCACGCCUUAUCCUAUUCUCCCAAUAUUUCCAUCACUAACCUUGGUUGGAUCAAACCCAACCAGGGAAGUGCCCCUCCCACACUCUGAAAAGAGGAAAAAGAUUCCCAAGGCAACCACCUUCCGACCUCCUCCUCUCCCUCCCACCCAAUAUAACUUGGGACCGAAGGCCCUCUCUUGCUUCGAGAAAACACUUGAAUCAAAUUAACUCCCCACCUUUCCCUCUGUCAGCUUCCCAACCACCACCUUCCAAGCCAAAGUCUUGAGACCAUACUCUCCACCAAUGCCACCAGUAAUGGAGACGCCGGGGUUGGUGUCGUUGCUCCGGCACACCACCGAAGACCGUCGGACCAAGAUGGGCGGAGGGGGUAUCUUUCGGAUGUUCAAGCUGCUUCCCAUGCUUACCUCUGGUUGCAAGAUGGUUGCGCUCUUAGGCAGGCCAAGCAAAGGAUUGCUCUCCGACAAGGCUACCACCAUUACGUUAUUUGGAUAUAGGAGAGGAAGGGUGAGCUUAGCCAUUCAAGAAGACCCCAGGUCUCCACCCAUCUUUCUUAUAGAGCUCCCCAUGCUCACGAGCUCUCUCCACAAAGAAAUGGCAUCCGGAUUGGUGAAGAUUGCGCUCGAGAGCGAGACGAGGACCCACAAGAAGAAGCUCACGGAGGAAUACGUCUGGGCUGUUUACUGCAAUGGCCGGAAGUCGGGAUACUCGAUAAGGAGGAAGCAUACCUCCGACGACGAGCGACAUGUCAUGCAGCUUCUCAGGGGCGUCUCCAUGGGUGCAGGGGUCUUGCCAUGCGAGAAGGAGACGGCAGAGGGGGAGCUGACCUACAUGAGAGCCCGAUUCGAGAGGGUGGUGGGAUCGAAGGACUCCGAGGCGAUGUAUAUGAUCAACCCCGACGGCACCGGCGGGCCGGAGUUGAGCAUCUUCCUUGUGAGGAUCAAGUGAAAUUACUAUUGCUUUCUUUGCUUCUUGUCUGUACAUAGGUCUCUUGGUCUUUGUAGAGAAAAUUCUCUUCCAGUCCCUCUCUUCCAUUUUUUACCUGCUUUCUGCAACCUUUUAACUUUAUACAGACUCUGGAUAACUUGCCGGUUAUGAUGGAUACCACAAUGGUGGUGGGAACUGCGGAGAGCAGCUGAAGACAGCCUAGUAGUACUUCCCAUUUUGAAUAAUAUUUAACAUUGAUUGGAUGAUGAUUUAACCUAAAAAAAACAAUUUGUGAUCAAACUUAUGGGAUUUUGAAGAACUUAGGCAUGGUAAGGGUCCUGAUAAUUAUAUCCAUGAAUCCAUGAUCUGAUGGCACUUCUAGUCCUCAAUGAGUGUUAGAAGUUGUGUUUGUGAUGCCUGUGCAAAAGUACCUCCUUGCACUGAAUAUUUUUAUUUUUUUACUUUCUUCAGAAUUAAUGAUUUCCUUGAAGCUUGGUCUUGUGAUACCUUGUCAUGAAUUCUCUAGGAGAACAACUGCAAAAUUAAUGAUUUCCUUGAAGCUGGUCCCUCACUGUAUCUUUCAAGUUAGGUAAAACCUUAUCAUGUUUGGCUACUUAUAUAUACUACCACUUGAGUUACCUAUACGGAUCUCAUUUUGCUAUUAUUAGUUUAACAAUCUUUUAUAAAGUUCUUGAUGAAGUUUGGGGGAGCUAUGCAUGCACCUCCUUAAUUUUUUUUGGAAAGAAAAAAAAAAACACUUAUAUAAAGAGUUUGUAGCAUGUAUGUUACAUUAGAUACACACAAAUUGUUUAAGAGAUGCAAUUUGAAUGAUUCUCAGUAUAAGAUGUUUAAGAUAUUCCAAGAUAAAGUGCAUGUCGCAAAAUGAGAGCAGCUCCAUUCAGUGCAUUGGACAUCUAAAGGACAUAGCAGGAGGUCGGCUUUAUGAUGGUAGGGAAGAACCGGAUGACCUUGUCAAAAGCGUGGGGGAACAAAACAGCAAACAUCUGAUUGCUUCCACCGACUCUAUGGCACACGUUAGCCGGUUUUCGUGUAUUUUAAAUGGUCCCCUCUAUAAUGUACAAGAGUUUGUACGCAAGAAGCAGCACGGGAUCACCCAUGCCUUCAAUGCUUUUUGGGCCGAGUAGUGGCCCAGGGGGGCCCACCUUAAGCUGAUGGGCAUGUGGAGGCUCCACGUCAAGGGAGGCUCUCGUCGGGCUGAUGAAAGCGUAUCAACAAACUCCAAAGAAGAAUGGGCCUUGGAUUUCCCUCACAAUAGAUACGGAAAAGAAGUCUAUCCAUCAAUCAGCAUCAAGUAGGCUAGAUCCAGCUCACAUUAGCAUGGUACGUUAGAAAAGUAUGAACUUAGGUAGGGGUCUACCAUCAAGUGGGCCUGGCCUUGAGGCCCCGUCUCUUUUUGGAGGGACCAUCCUGCAAAGAAAAUGGGCCAUCAUGCCCUAUGUAUUAUGCUUGUAAAAGCUGAUUUAAAAGAAAGUACCCGGCAUGGGAAUUGUAUUGCCUGCCAUUUGGUCCUGACUGCACCUAGGGUUUUCAUCCUAAAGAAAAGCAUAAUUAUACCAUUCCAUGAUGAUGCUUCCAUUGUUGCAUGCCUUUAGGAAUAGUAUAAUACGGGCUUAAUUUUACAUCCAUGGACCUUGCACGUGCAAUCACAUUAUUUAUUCAUUUUAAUGCUGGCCCGCCACCAGCUAAGGACCAUUGGCUAGCAUCGUGUUCCUAUUAUCUUCGUUCUUGAAGUGGAAGGUGUGGGGUUCCUCCGCCAUCGGAAAAGAUUCAACAUCGUAGUCCAACUUUUUCUUGAAUCGCAACUCCCAGGCAAUCCACUCCGCUGGUACUUUCCGGCCAAGGCUUCGCACAAUCACCAUCGUUGAGCUCCAUGUUUUUCUAGAUGUCUUAACACAUUCCAAUAGCAAAUCGAGGGCCUCCAUGAAGUGUCAUUGGAGGUGCUCAGCUCCUCCGAUAUCUUGUAGUUGGUCCACACUGGCUUGCCAGGAGGGUGCCUAGCCCACCACCAACCACAAGGAGUUGGUCUCAACUCUCCUCGGGAGCAGCCAACCCCCACAACCAGUCGGCCCCUUGGCCAACCUCUAUCGUUGUUCCUCAUUUUUAGAAACCUCUUUCGUUACUCUCGUGCUCCGAUCACCCAUUGCCUUCGAUCACCAAGCGUUCGAGAAAAAAAGCGCCAGACAUCACAUGAAGAUUAAAGCAAGUCGCGAUCCAGUCGCAUAAAUUGUGGCAUUCUAACCUUACCUAGUUGCUAUUUAAGAGAUAUCUCGUGAGCUUCGGAAUCAUGUCCAAUCUCAAAGUUCUACGUCAACAUAGAGAGAGAUGAAGUGGUCUCACUUGCUAAACUACUACACCGCAAACUUAGUCCUUCUAUGUACUUGGGACUACCUUAGCGAUCACAAACUUACAAGGAGGGACCAUCUCAUCCCCUCGUGGCGGCAUAGAGUGCUAGCAUGCACCUUGGAAGAGGAACUUUCUUUCAAAGGGUGUCUCACUAUUCUUAGGGGGUUGAGAGGAGGUGGACCCUAGAAUGGAAAUAAGAAUGAAUAACUCCUAUUCCAACUGUUUGGUUGGAGGAAGUCCCAUUCCAAUUUCGAUUCCAAAAAAAAAAAGAAAUGCCCCAAACCCAACCCUACUUUUCCCUAGUACUCAAAUUUCAUUCCGAUUCUAGUCACAAACCAAACAUGUAGGAGGAUAUGGCUAUUCCUAUUUCCAUUCUAAUCCAAUCCGAUUCCAAUUCUAAUUUUGAUUUCAAUUUCAGUCGGGAACGAAAUGUGCCCUUAAUGUUGUCAUCUCCGCAUUGCCUUGAAAUUACAUGGCAAUCUACAAGUUGUGCCUAGAUGGAUUAGCUGGCAAGGCAAGGAUAAAGCUAGCGAGUUUAAUUGCCUUGUCAACUAGGAUGUUAUGCGUACAAAUCCGCUGGACCUCAUUGAGUGUCUCCUCUCUGAGUAUGGAAGUAGUUCUUGAAGGAGAUGGUAGUUGGAGAAGGGUUACAAAGGCUAAUGUUUUUGAGACUCGGGCGGGUCAAUUAAGUGAAUCCAGUCCUAUUGCCCCCCAGCAAUAACGAAUGGGGUUAUAUUUCGUGAUUUAUGAAAACUUGCUUGACUUGUUGACCUGAACAGUUCACCCGACAAGCCGCCAUGGACAACAACUCGAUCAACCUAAAUUGAGCCAAUGAACAAGAAGAUUUCCCUGAUAGGGGUAGCCCCAUACCUUUAUCCUCCUCAGUAGGCCAAGAAAAACGAGGGAUAGAAUUCUGAGGAGACGCUGCAUCAGAUGGUGAUCCUAUGGCCAGACUUUACUGAUCGGACAAUGGAAAAGAAAAACAAUGCUCGAUGAAAUGCCGGAGCCAUACCCUCUUCCUGGACCAAAGGUAGCGAAUCAAUUUGGGUAAUGGGUUGAAAGUCUAUCCAUAGCUGGUGCGUAAUGCAGUAAGAAUGGUCGUUGAGGCAAUGGGUUAUGAAAGAGGUCAAGCCAAAGCAUAAUAAGGUAAUGGCAAAUGGGCUAGAUGAGGCAUGAGGUCAUAUUUGGUACUAAUUAUUGGUUGGAUAAGAUCCACUGCUGAGCUCAUGAAUCAAUUCGAUCCACUGCUGAGCUCAUGAUUCAAUUCGAUCGUGAAACAAUAUAUAUAAAUUUGCAUGAGGGGGGAUGGAGGCGAUACACGUAGAGGAUGGUUGCGGAGGGAUCGAAGACGAGAAGGGAUAAGUUGGACAUUGAUGCAAGAUGCAGGGGUUAGAGAUUCGACGGGCGAUCACGGUCGGACUGGUAACCACCAAACUUCCAGCGGUUGCUUAUAAUUGUUACAUACUUAAAAAAAAAUGUUACAUAACAAUGGUACCCUCUACUUGCUGCAAAAAAAAUAGUACUUUAUAAUGACUAUUUUAAAAGCUGCCAUGAAAGUAUAUAAAUAUUAUGGCGGUUGUUCAUGAAUUAUACUGAAAGUUUUCGUUGCGGAUGGUAACCCUGUAACCAUUAGAGUAAAUGAUAGCUAAUACUGUUGGUUUAAAGAACUGUCACAACUCACAAGUAUAUAAUAUUGCUGCUGCUACUUGUAUAUGUUGUUAGAAGUUUAUGCAUGGCAAUGGUUCUUUAUAGCCGCAACAGAAGAUGGACUUUGUAACAAUGAGUUCUAAAACUGUUGCAGAUGGUAUACAAUAUUUAUGGAGGUCAAGAUAAUGGCUAGAAAUAGAACUAACACAUUAUUCAAAAGUGCUACUUACACCAAACUUAUGACUGGAGAACCAACUAAAGUUAUCCAUAUAUUAUAUAAUUAAUGUCUAACUUUAAUAUUUUAUCUAUGUGUGCGUUGUGCGUGUAUGACUGCAUCUACUGCCUUUCAGUUUUAAAAAAGACUGCAGUUACUGCCAUCUUGUAAGUUCCAAACCCCAUUUCCAGUCACAAGCAUAUAUAAAAACUUGAACAGCAUCAAAAGGGUUGAUAUGCAAGGGACAGGAUUGGAACUCAGAAAAUUAUCUGAUAGAUAUUACGUGCUGGGAAAACGGUGAACUGCCCUGGAAGCACCUCAUUUAGAACUGCAAAAAUGGGCAACAACAAAUCAAUCAAGAGAGACAUGACUGCGAAGGCACAAGAUCGGAGUAACCAAGAAAAGCAGUUGAGAACCAUAAAUAUGCCAUACAAAAUUACAAAAGCUUAAGCUUUGUGGAAGCAUUAAACUCAGCUAGGUGAGAAUUAUAAAAUCUACCAGUAAUAUAAAGGAUUAGGAAAAAAGGUGAGAUAGAUAAGUCAAAGGAAUGAGUAAAAUGUCAAGAAUAAACCAUCCAAUUCAUAAAAAGUAUGAGAGUUUAUGUGGAGAGCCAAAUGGAAUAUUUGUAGUAGUCUAAACAUCCCUCAUCUAAACAGCCUAUUACUACAAUAUCCUGAUGCAACACCAACUAUUUUUGAGAAAAAAUGGCUUAAACUUCUUUAUCCUUUUCUGUAUACAUCCAUCUCAAGGGAUCUGGACUUUUUUUUUUCUUCAGUCCCAAUUAUAUACCUGCAGUAAACACCAAAAAAAAGGUAUGAUCUUCUAGUUGUAUCAAAUAAUGCAAAGCAACUUUAGCGAAUGAAACAAUAAAUACCGGAACCUUUCUAUGUUAAAUGAGAACCUGAUAUAUCUACACACUUGUCAAAAGAUUUCCACUAAAUUUUUUAGACCUGAAUUUUUUUCAGCAACGUCUCCCCUGCAAAGAAGAAAACACCCAAAGACACGAAGUCUGCUACUGCAAAUACUUGUACACCUAAGAAUAUUAAGAAGCUUUUUUCUGAACUUAAGGAAUCAAGAUAUCACAACCUCAUUAUUUGCAUCUGAUUUUACUGAGACUUGGAACAUUCUGGAAUAAGCCUUUCGUUCUUGAUCCCGUCUAUCAGCAAUCUGGAACAGUUUUAAAUAUUCAUAUAUAUCUAGAAUUAUCAGCACACUGGAAUGAAGUGCACUUGAUAAUAUUAUUCUCACCUUCUUCUUUGCAGCAGCAAGCUCUUUCUUUAUGCCUCCUAAUAAAUACCGCAAAUCAAAUCAACAGCUUAUCAAUUGCAUAUAUCCAACUGAAAGUAAACAAAUUAAAGAAAAGCCCAAACCAUCAUUUGGCUCUAACUCUAGUGCCUUCUUGAAACUUUCCACUGCAGCAUCCACAUCAUUAAGUGACAUGUGUGCCUGAUCAAUUUACAAAGGAAUAACUUACGCCAUCCAUGACUUGCAAACAAACAAAAACAGCAGCAGAAACAAAAUAAUAAUGAAAAAAAAAGCAUCCAGAAAAUCAUGAGAAACAUGAUAACCAUCCACAACCAAGUGCAGUAGUCUGUUGAGUGAAGUCUCUUAAAUUUAACUACAUGUACAUGAAAAACAAGAUAUCAUGGCAGUCUGCAAUCUGUCAUUGUCAGAUGCAUGAAUGUGCUGCAUCAUAUACGAACCAUAUCCCAACAACAGCAGAGAUCUGGUGUGAAUCAGGAUCCAAAACAAGAAAAAAAAACAAAAUGUAUCGAGUUGCAUUGGGACUUAUCAGGUUCAUGUCCAGGUCAAAUUUUGGUGUGAGCCAAUCCCUGAUUCUCUCACAAAUAUCGGACCAUGUUUUCAUUGCAAAAACAAGGUGUUGACUUACAGGCGGAGUGCUGCUAUUGACAAAAAUAUUUAUUUCUAGCAAGGUCUGCCGAACCAGUUCCGAGGCCCAUACCGAUCAGCGAACGGGUCGGUAUAGUAGCUGUUCAGUACUAUACCAACACACGGUACGCUUGGGGGUGCCAGUUCCGAACUGGCAUGCCCAUUUCUUUUUCUGAGUUUUUUAAAUUCAAUUAAUUGAUAAUCAAUCUUUUCAACUUUUUUCAAUAAUUUUAAGUCUAAUUUGAUUUUUAUAUAUAUAUAUAUUUUGAUGUUUCUAUGAUCCCGGUUGAACCUAAAUGAUGCAUCUUAUUGUUUUUAAAUGAUAAAAAUAUAAAAUGAUUAGUGAGAUGUUGCACACUACAAGAAGCUACAUGAAAUAUCCUCAAAUCAAGUAAUGAAGGUAAAAAAUAUAAAAUAAUACAAUUAAUUACAUAUAUUUAAAGUAUAACAUACAUACUAAUAUCUAAAAUCUCGUUAAGUGGCGAAGCCUCUCGUAGAUAUCCGAAUUAUUAGCAUAGUCAGGAGGCAGAUCAGCUCACCCUUCUAACCAAGCGACGUUGUAGUCUUGUAUGUUCAUCUUAUAAGGAACACGCUUUAGAUUAUAAGCACUUUUGGAUCUUUUGCUGAAGUUGUAGCUCUGAGAGGUAUCCUCUAACCGAUAAAAUGGCUGUGAAAGGGCCCAUACGAAUAAGCCGACAACAAAAUCCGACCUAUAAGAUGCUUCGGAUUGCGUCGGAUAGUAGCUACCAAAAGAUAUUUUAGACACACCAUAUUCCUAUCCAUAUUCGUAUGGGUCAUAGGCUGCAUGUGACUGCAGAUAAUAGGAUCCAGUAUAUGGCCUAAAAUAUGAUACGUUUAUGGAUUCUACUCCACGUGUGAGGUCAUCUACAGUUGCAUCGUGUCUGCCUGAAUAAUCUCGAGGAGUCCAUCUUUUAUAUGCAAUCGUAUCCUCACGAGCUUUACCAAAUCGUGUAUCGUGGUCCGUAUCCUGUAUAGCAUGUGUAAACUGAAACUCAUCUGUGAAUCAAAGACCACCCUACAGCUGUAUCUCAUAAAUGAUGGUCUCAUAUCCUCCGCUCUCUGUUGGUUAAUAGAACCAUGACCAGCAGAACUGCUGCUUCUGAUCUCUGAAUCUGAGUGAAUUGGCUCCUCCACACUCUCCAUUAGGGUUGCAUGUGCCUUUUGUUUUCCUUUUUUGGUGUGUUGGCAACUGCCUACUUACCUUUCGUGCCACUCGCUGUCUGCUUAUCCUUCGUGUCACUCGCUGUCUGCUUACCCUUCGUGCCACUCGCUGCCUGCUUACCCUUCGUGCCACUCGCUGCCUGCUUACCCUUCGUGCCACUCGCUGCCUACUUACCCUUCGUACCCUUUCCUACUAGGCUAUGUUGGAAGGAUGUAUGUCGCCCUCCUAACCAAAUCGAUCGGGUAGUGUAGUGGCCUCGUCUAAGCAUCUCUCGAUCAUAUCUCUAAGAAAAUAUCUCGAACAAGGAGUCAUGGUGACCGGCUCUCCGUGGCUGUGGCUGAUCAGCUGAAAAGAUGUAUGGAAUAUUGCUCUCUAUCCAUUGCCCUGCAUCGGCCCUAGCGUCACUGGCUAUGAAACUGGCCGAUCGUGAAGGUGAUCAUCGCUCAUCAAGCUCCGAUUUUUGCUACUGACCCACAAACCAUCCGAUCAUAGGAUCAUCCUCAUCAUCAAUGAAAGCACUACGGAUCGAAUCUGUGUACUUUAGCUCUACUUUCUUCUGAAUGCACUUCAACCUCGACCUCAUAUUGUAGUGAACAUAUACAAGAUUUUGAGACACUUUUGUGUCAAAUAGUUCCUCUGUUUGUUGUGGAUGAUAGCAAAGGUGGACUAAUUAUGCUCACAGCCACUCGAGAAGACCAUCUGGAGAAGGAUCUGGAUAACUAGUCGCUUAAAAUUUUUUGCAGACAAACCAAAAUGAAUCCACUAUUUAACUGCAAAAAUAUUGAGAAAAAUUACGUAUAAGAUCGUAUCAUAUUAGUAACCAUCUAACGUCAAGUAAAUAUCCUCCUGAUGUGUACUACAUCUGGAUUUAUACUUUUCUUACUUACGACAGAUGUCGAGACUCCAAAGCUGUCGAUGUCCUCUCUAAAUAUUUUGGUCUGUAAAAAGAACCAUAUUAUAAUAUGUUAAUAAUUGGAAAUACCAAUUAACUUACACAUGUCACUUAAGUUAACUUAUCUCUUUUAGACAUAUAGCUGCGACUUUUGGAUCAGGCUCCAUCUUUUAAAUCACAUUACGCAGAGCGAAUAGAAGUUCAUCAUCGAUAUCGCUUUCAGUUAUGGUAUGCUGAAACUUUGGGUUCAGAUAGUAUAGUGCAGAUAAAGUUCGUUAUUGUCUUAGUAAAAUUAUACAAGUACAGAAGCAGUCUAAUUUUCGAUGUUCUUACUUAUCUACUAGAUGCAAGUCCCUAUCCAUCUAGUAGUCCCACCGCCACUUAAUAAUAUCAAUGUACUCCUAGACAUAAGUCAGAUGUACCUUCUUGAUCUAAAUCUUUGCCCUCUCCAUCAUAUGAUACAAGAAGCCCAUCUGGGAGUAUCUCUCGCUGUCCACGACCUAAAGCACUUCAUACAAUGGUAUGAUAGCCUUCACUAUCUUCUUGAUCCGCUGCCAGAAUGUCUACCUUAUCACCAAGUCCUCGACAAUACUUCCUCCAGUGCUGACCCUCGUAAAUGUAUUUUUCUGCUACUCAAGACUAACAAACAUCUGACGUAGGGCUGCUUUCCACUCAAGAAGGCUAUCAAGUGCAACCUAAGUGGUAGCAAAUCGUGUGACUUCUGAUAUCAAAAAUCUCUCCCCCUACAUAACUCUUUAUCAAUACAAGGACUCAUGUACUAUUAUAAAUAUAUCUGGUGAUGGUUUGAGCUAUCUCCAUUGUUCGUUACACCUUACAAAUCUAUGCAAUGACCAUCAACAUGAGAUCGAUACAAUGUGCAGCACAUAGAGUCCAGAAAAUCUGGUCACCACUCUAUCAAGAUUUUUCUGGAUGCCUUAUAUUAUGGUCCACUAUCAGUGAUGACCUGCACGACAUUCUCCUCUUCUACCUAAUCAAUCACCUCCAUCAAUAUGAGGAUGCACGUGGCGUCGUGCACCUGAUCGGAAGAAUUAACUGACUUGUGGAAGAAAAUCCUUGUAUCACAAUACGUCAAGAAGUUGAUAAUGCUCUGCCUGAUAGGACCAGCCCAACAAUCACCCAUCAUCGUCAGUUCAUAUGCAGGCCACUUACUCUUGUAUGAGGUAAUCCACUUCUUUAGCUCCUUAUUAUUGUCUAAAAGUUGACCGUAGAUGUCCUUCGGUCCUCGAGGAUCUACACCGAGACUGACAGCCUGUAUGAAAAAUAUGGCAACCUAUAGUAUGUAUUGUCUGCCACAUUCACUGGAAUGUAGCUGAAGUGAAACCAGAAUCCAAUAGCUCGCCACAUAUCCUUCUUAUCAUUUUUUAAUAUUGUGUCAACCCUCUGCUGCUUCGAAUCCCUACUGAAAAAGGCAUGUGGAUCUAAAUUAUGGAUGGUGGCUCCUGGUAGAAUCUUCCUGGAUGACUUCUUUUUGCUACUAAAAGCCUCUAGCAUAGAUGCAAUACGGCCACCGCCUCUACUGACGACCUUCCUAACCGAGGAGGUUGUUCUAAACUCUAGAUUUGCCCUGUUGCUCGUAGAACCAGAGCCCGACUCGUAGUAUGAGGGUCUAAAUUGUGCCCUAUGCCUGGCCACCUCAUCUUGUUACCACUGAUCAUCCAGGCUCGUCUGCAUAGCAGCCUGAACCUAUACCUCCUUAUCAUCUAGAGCAGACAUCUCCUCUGACUUCCUAAAGUGAUAGAAAAGUGGUUCUACAGCUCAAGAGUCCUCCUCCACCUUCUUUUUGGAACCCUCUCACUCGCUGCUCUGAAAUAAGUGAAGUGCUUUUUCAUCAGCUAACGAACCUCUUGUGGACAUUUUCGACACAAUACGUCGAGGUAAUCACCAACUAAGUGCUGCUUCAGCCUGCUUAUCCCUCCUUCCUUGAACUUUGUGUUGCACCAGUUACAGUUCCAAUAGUUCCGACUCGAGACAUGAUUGUAUCAAAACUUGAAUAAAUGAACACCAAAUUUUGCUAAAGAGUUGUUUGCAUGUUCCUAAAUAUAUUUUUAAUUUUACUAUUUUUUUAAAAAAAUUUAUAUAUAUAUAUAUCUAUUUUUUAUUUUUAAUCCAAAAAUAUAUUUUAAAUUUUAAAAAUUAUAAAUGAUCUAAAAAAUAAAAAAUUUUAUGUCAUCGUAUAGAUCAUCCAUAGAUCUACAACAUAGCAUGAAAUCAAUUCCCAAUCAAAAAUUUUGGCACGAUCUCUCCUUAUUUUGUAAAUUUUGAGCUAUUUUUUGGAGCCAAAAAAAUAAAAAAAAUGAGAUAGGAGAGAGGAAGCAUAACUUAUUUAGACUCGAAUCUUUCUUCAAUCACGCUGAAUCGGUAUGAUUUUACAAAUUAGGAGGAAGGGGGAGCCAUUUAGACUAAAGUCUAAACCAAACAGAGAAGAAGAUGUUAGGAAGGCCGAAAGCCUUCCCAACCCCUUUUAACAAAAGAAAGGAAGGGGGAGGGGGCCCAAUCUGAACUGGGUCGACUCUGGUUUGCAUCGAGUUUGAACGAAAUCAGCCGGUUCCGAACGGUUUCGGCCAGUUCGGUCCACUUAUGGCCGGUUCCGAUCGGUUCGAAAUCCGUUUCGGCCGGUUUGGGGCCAAAACCUUUAAUAGACAAACCGACCCGGUUUUCUACUGGAUCGGCUCGGUACAGGUCGAACCGGGCAGUUCGGGCCGGUUCGACAUACCAUAAUUUCUAGAUUACAAUAGAAGUGUAGCACAUACAUUGGGCAAAUCAUAAAAACCAUUACAAAAAUUUCUUUGCGACAACUAUAGUAAGUAGAUACGAGAAAUCCAUAUCUUAGGAGUAAUAUGACCCUGUUUGGGGGAGCUGUUGGUAGUAAAACUUUUAGAGAUAGAGCUGUUGGAAGUAGAGCUUUUUGAAGUAGAGCUUUUAUAAAAAGCUGUUUACUGUUUGGUAACUACAUUUCUAAAGUGCUAUGGCACUUUAACAUGUGUUUGGUAAACAAACCAAGAAAGUAUUUUUGUAUAACAAAAUUACCAUAAAAAACAUUGCAUUAGUAUUAUACAACAGAGCAUAAUAAAACAUAAUAUAUAUUAAUACAUAAAUAUAUGAUAUAAUAUAAAAUUAUUGUAAUAUAAUAUAAUAUUAUUAUAAUGUAGUAAUAUAACAUUGUAUACUAUAGCAUAAUAAUUUAAUAUAAUAUUAAAUUAUUUAACAUAACGUAUCAAUGUAUUAUGAUAUAAUGUAAUAUAAUAUUAUAUUUAUAGUAUAAUACAAUAAUAAAGAUACAAAAUAUUAUAAUUAUUAGCGUACAUUAAUUUUUCAUAAUAUAACAUAAUAUUAAAUUAUUUAAUACAAUAUAUUAACAAGAAUACCUUUCCUUGCACGGAAGGGAGUCUGAUCCAUGGCUAGAGUUCUUUGUUAGGGCUCCAGCAGAUUUUUAGGUUUAUAAAGGGACAAAGUAUGUAAUUGUUAUAUUUUAUUAUGGGUAUUUUGGUAAAAAAAAUAGCUUUUCAACAAAACUCAAAACAGCUUUUUCGAAAAGCUCCAAAAUGGAGCUUCUCCCAAAAGCUGUUUUUAGCAUUCUGAAAAAGCUAAAACAGCUUUCCGAAAUUUUUACCAAACACCAUUUUUCAUCCAAAAGUGCUUUUGGAGACCAGAAAGUGCUUUUUGGCCCUCCAAAAGCUCCCCCAAAUGGGGCCUAUAUCAUUUGUCCUCGAUAUGGCAGCCAAAGAAGAUGUCCAAAAAUCCUGCAAAACAAUCUUUCCCAUGAAAGUAGGAAAUAAAUAUUGUAUUAACUUAAUUAAGAUGAUAUAUUACAACAAUACUGGUUCUAAAUAUUGUGCAAAAUAAGGCUCAGUCCACCAAAACAAUCUCAGACUGAAGAAAGAUAUCAUUUCUUCAAUCUAUAUAAUAGUCAUCAGAUCGAGGAUAAUAACCUGGCCUUGGCGGUAAUAUGCUUUGGCAUUACCCUCUCUUUCGCGCAAUGCAAAGUCAGCAUCUAAUAAGGCACCCUUGGAAUUUCCUAAUUUCAAUUUGCAUGCCUGAAACAUAGAGUUUAAGAAAAUAAAAGCAAUUUGUUAGAACUAAACUUGCAAAACAUUUGUAGUUACCAAGAAGCCACAUAAACAGAAUGCACCCCUUAAUAAAUUGAUUGCAAUUUUAUGCGAUUAACUAAGAAGGCAAAUAUUUAGCUAGGACAGUUAAAUGAGCACUUCCAGCCGUUCAACUAAAUAAAUUAGUUAUAUUGGUCAUGAAUUUCCUGGUAGAACCUGGUGGUCAAUCUAAGACCAGAAAAUAUGUAAGCAAAGCUGCAGCUGAGCAGCAUUCCCUUGUCUUGCUCAGAAGCAAACCAAAGAAAACACUAAUAUCAGCUUUAUAGUCCUGAUUAAGGUAUUCCUUACCUAUCAUAAUUGGGCCACCUUGGCAAUUGUAUUCAGAAGGACCUUCAAAAAUAACUUCCUAGACAUCAUUUAUGGGUAGCUCUUUUUUGCUCUAAAAGAUAAAUAUUUUCAAAAAAACCCAUGGGGGAUAGCAGGAUCAGCCGGUGUUGUUUGCGCUGGCAAGACCCAAAACAUGCUGAACUAGCUUGACCGAAAUGGACUGGGGAUGUUAUGGAGGAGAUGUUUGGUAUUUUACAUGCUUCAGUUUCUACGGGACCAGAAUUGUUAGCAUCUUGAGGACAUAACAAGAUAAUGAUGAAAGCCUCCACCCCGGCACAAAAAACUUCAUAUUUGUUAGCAUCUUGAGGACAUAAUCAGAUAACAAUAAAAACCUCCAAGGCACAAAAAACUUCAUCACCACAAGAUGCAUUUGCAAGAUCAGAAGGUGACACAUGUCUACAAGGACAGAAAAUUGCAGUGUGUUGGUAGGGCAAUCAUGCUUGCAAUCAUUUGCAUUGAGAUGGGUGCAAUAUCAAUCAACAUUAAGCUUAUUGGUAUUGGUUUAUUUUGACAAUUGUAAUUUAUGUGCGCUGAUAAUAAAUCCAUAGUGCUCUCUUUUCCAAACGUACAUACACAGAAUUAAGACUUAUCAACAAAUAAACCUAAAUUCCAACAAGUCGCGCAUUAACUUUAAAAAACGAUAAUUUAGUAUGAGUACCAUUGGAUUGACUAGGUUGAACAGAGAGGCCAAGUCUAGAUUUAGAACAACCGGAAUCCCAAUAUAUAUACCCUCGUUCCUCAUAUUCUGCUCUCAGAUAAAGCCUCUUCAACCCAUAUUCUCUCCUCUAGAAUUGACAACUGAGCACCAGGAAGCAAUCUGUGGACAAUGCCUGACAGACAGUGGAGCAAGCAAUAAACUAAGGUAGCAUGCUUGGGUUCUCUCCCUCUUCCACCACCAUGUCACUCUAUCUGGAACAUGAUUAGGGUUUUGUGGGAUGUUGCCCUAAUAUUUAUUACAGCAAGUAAUGAAUGAAGUAAUGACAGGGCCCAGAGGUUAGAGUUGCUUAGCAUUGCAUUGAUUUAGGUCAGUCAACCCCAAUACAAAUCAGUCCCUACAUAAGCUGAGUAAGAGAAAAAUUAAGGAUGGAAAUGGAGCUUAAAAGGUGCACCAUAUAUGAUGUUAGAUUCGGAUGGCAACUUACAUCAACAUAUAUUGCAGAGAAUCCUUACAGAACCUAAAGGUAACUGGCAUUCAAAAGACAGUCAAGGAAACGAGAAUCUAAAGAGAGAUGGAAACAAAAAAGGAUCUUGAAAUAUCCAAAAGAGAUAACAAGGAUGCAGGAAAAGUUAAACAAGGUUGACUCCUUGGCUUUCAAUUAUCUACAUGAUAUAUUGGCUGAAAAGAAGAAAGGAAAUCAAAAAUACUAUGCUAGAUCAAGUUUAAAAAUCUUAAAGAUACAUAUUGUAGUGCAUGAAGAGUGAGAAAAGACAGCCUUGAUGAAAGUAGUACAAUAAAGAAAAGAGGCACAUGUUACUUCAGUUACAUUUAGAUUCUUUUCAAAGUGAGAAAGAACUUGUGAUUGCUCUCCGGUUACAUGAGCUAAGAUUGUUUAACCAUAAAGACAAUUUCUAGUUUAACAGCAAGAUCAAGAAAUAUCAUAAAGACAUUCCUACAAUGAAAAUUUUGUGAGUUAGUACAAUCAUUAAUUAGUGUGACACUUGCAGAAAGAACAAAAUAUAUGCUUGCCACUAGAUUCACUGUAUCAGCAAAAUUCAAACUAUCAAAAGGGUGGACCUGUUCAUCUGACGAAAUGCUUUUUUAUCUCAAUAAUUCUUUGGUGAAAAAUGACAUGAAAACUGUAGAUUCCCAGAACUUUCGAACUUUAUUCACAUCAUGGGCUGAAUAAGCAUAUAUGAAAUUAAUCAAAGCUUUGAGUGUUGGUCAUCACAACUAAAAUCAAUACUUCUAUUUGUUUCAAACUCAUGUAGGUCAAAACAGUGUCUAACCGCCAAUUAGCCUCCUAAAGUACAUGACAAUUCCCUCUUGCCAAGUGGUCAGCAAUUCAAAACCAAUGCAUAAGAUGUUAAUGCCAUUAAUGUUACUUGGAGAGUAAUCUAUAAAACUCUAUGAAUACUUUGAUGCAUAAAGGUAAACCCUAUAUAGAUUGGAUACUACUUUCUUAUAGAGCUUAAGGUCAUUAGAUGUCAAGGAACUUACUCAGAUUAACACAGUAGGGAUGUUCCAUUUUGAAUAAUCAAUUCAGAAUUAUAAAUAUAAGCAUGUAAAAAAAAUCUAUGUGAAAAACUACGAAGGCUUACAGAGCUAUUUGUGAGUAGAAUAGACUUUGUCUUCCGCAACAACAAGCUCUUCUCUGCAAAACCACAAAAAGAUGGAGAGAGAGAAAGAGAUUACUGCCAAAUACAUGCAUGCAUAAGUAUGUACAUGCCUACGUACGUAUAUAUGUGUAGAUAACAACUACAAUUAUUGCAAAUAAUGCUUGCCUUCAUCAAUCUCUUCUUUGUCCCAGCAAACAUCCAAGUAGCGCAGACCCUUACGGUACUUUCUAAGAGCCAUCUUAAAGUCCUGUUUCUGCUUGAAGCAAAAGAUUUUAAAUUCGGAAUGAGUAAUCUGAUAUCUAACAAAACCAAGUGAAACAAGAUAGAGAACCUUCAACACAAGUACCACUCUUUUGAAACAAUACAAGGAUGACAUAGACAAUCAGAAGAUAGUAAGAUGUACAUAUAUAUAAAAGGGUAAGAAAUAAAAACACAUUAAAUUACUUUCACAUUGGAAAACCAAUUAAAGCAAAUAUGAUGAAAACAAAAUCUAAAAACUGAACAUUCUACAUAAUCCAAUUAAAGAAAAUAAAUAGCAGCACGAACAGAGAUCAAGGUUUAAGAAAAUCACCUUGAAGUAGUCAUUUCCAAAAGCCUUAGCAGAGUCCACAGCAUUCAUCCACCAUGAGACCUUGCUUGGCUUCUCAUCAAGGUCGUUGGGCCAAUCUGGAUACAUAUCACCAUCUUUGAAAAAAUCUGAAACUCCAUCAUCAGCCCCUUCAGAAAGUUCUCCACAAUCCGCAAUUAUUACAUCAACAAUGGGAUAAUCACCAUCUCCAACAGGAGUAUGCUCAACUGCCCAAAUGAUUCCCAUACCUUUAACCACCUUGCCAAACACAACAUGUUUUCCAUCUAGAUGAGAUGUUCUAGUGGUAGUAAUAAAGAACUGAGAGCCAUUGGUGUUGGGGCCAGAAUUGGCCAUUGAUAGCAUUCCUUUUCUUUCAUGUUUCAAUAAAAAGUUCUCAUCCUCAAAUUUUAGUCCAUAUAUGGAUUCUCCUCCAGUUCCAUCACCCAUGGAUAUAUCUCCACCUUGUAUCAUAAAACCUUUGAUAACACGAUGAAAACAUGUACCCUGAAAUGAGCAGUUAAAAGUAUCAUAUACUCCAAAUAGCUUUAUACUGUUGUAUAAAUCAGAAGAGCAGCAAGACAGUAGAGUUCAGUUAUGCACAUUUUGUUGUUUUCAUUAUUAUACAAUAGAUCAAGUUGAGGAAAAAAAGUUCAAUGGAGAACUGCAUGUUAACUCAGUUCAAUUUAUCAAAAGAAAUGUUUUGACUAUGGAAUCAAAAAAAAAUUCUUCAAAUGAUAUAAAGAAUGUAGAUCAGUUUUGCCUUCCAAUAGGACAGAGGGACUAAGUUAAAAAAACUUUGCUUGUCAUCAUGUUCUAACUAAAAUGGGUUUCGAUAUGGUUGACCAAGAAUAGAGCAAAAACAAUAUUAAAACCAGUGUAGCCACAACAAGCAUCAUAUCAUCAAUUAAGUAUCAGCUUCGUGGAUCCUACAUCAAAAUUAGUUCCUAUUGAAGACCAAGACCUACAAAACAGUAAGGGGCUUUUCCCACUACCUCCAUCCAAGUUUCUCCAAAAGAGAUCAGUCAAUAAUUUGAAGUUAAAACAAAUUCGGAUCAUUAUCACAUUGCUCUCCCCACUCCAUCACUAUGCAAAGUAUUAAAUGGAAAAGACAACCAAUGUGAAGCAUGUCAAAUCACAAUUGUGCCACAAACAAAACAGUAUGUUUAAGAUGGAAAGGAAUGUGAGAUCAACAAGUUCUACACAGGAUUGGAGAGCAAAGCGGAUCGCAUACCUCACCUAUUGGGCAUUGGCAGAAUGUAUACAUUCGUCUAGCCUAUUGGAUAUUGAAGACCUCAAAAUAUCCUGAGUCCUGAUGCAGAUUAAAGCCUCUCAUAUCUUCCAAUAAGGUAACUAACCAUCAGAUUAUCUGACAGGUGUAGGAAUUGCCUUAAUUUCCCUAACUGAAAAUCAGACCUUAAUUUCCAACAUAACACUUUCAUUUGUUUUUCUAAAUAAAUUGUAAUACCUCAAAAAAAAAAAAUAGGGCUCAUGGGCUGGCCCGAAGGGGGCCAAGCCUAGCCCGACCGCUGACUAGCCCGCCUGUGGGCAUGUGGGCCCGCCCGGAGGGGCCAGGCCCGAGGGCUAUCCACGCUUGUCCAAGGGGGAAAACAGGGGAAGAAGACCCCGACUGGGAGUCUUCUUCCUCCCCUGAAUCCGGCGGAGGCGAGAGCUCCCAAAGGCCGAUCCGAGUUCGAUUCGAACUCUAGGAUCGCGCCUAUAAAUCUCCCUUUCUUCUCCUCCGAUUUCCACCACUAGAACCGCCAGAAGGUGCCACCGAUUUCAAGUAUUCCUCUCCGAGCCUUCACCUCGAUUCCUCGCCGGAAAACCUCGCCGAAUCGUCGUAGGACCGAGGUACGACCUGAGCUACCCUCUCUCUCGUUUCUAUGGUUUCUUUGGAGCCUAUGGACCGGCCGAAGGUCGCCGGAUUUGGACAGAGUGCUUGGGAAGCUCUGUUAUCCCCCGUUUUCAGAAGCUAAGUCUUCUUCAAUCUCUAUUCGUCACCGACGCAUGUCGCCGGGGCCUUCCCCUUGCUCUUCUCGGUGGUCGGAGGCUCCCUUCCCCCAGUUCCUCUCGGUGGCCUGAGGCCAUGGCCAAGGUCCCGGCCACGGGAUGCCUUUGUUCCACGGUUUAAGGGGUCAUAACCCCUAUUCAUCUUAUGGGCCCGGUGCCGCCAGCGACACUAUGGGUCGUCGGCCGCCAGGGGUCGCUGACCAUAGGCGGCUGCCGCUGCCGAGCACCUAUUCGGGAAGAAGAGAGGGCCUCACAACACUCUUCUUCUUCUCAUAUUUCUUCUCUCCUCUCUCUUGAUUUCUCUCUCUAUCCGAAUUAUUUUUUGCCCUAGAUUCUCUCUCUAGUUGGGGUUCUCUCUCUCUAAACUUGGAUCCAGAGAGAUCAUUGUUUUGAGGGUUCUGGAUUGUCAUAUAUCUUGGAUAAUUUUUAAUGAUGACUUGGUUCUAUAGGAAAACAAUCUGUUGAACGAGAGGACGCUGAGCGGGAUUCUGCGCAUCCCAGUUCAUAGAUCGUUGUGAGGGCGGAUGAUUAGUCUGUCUGAGUUUUUCAACAAAAUGUAAGAAUCUUUGUACGCCAAUCCUGUAUGAUAUAAAUAUUUUUACACCUGUUUAUGUAUGAUAUUCGAUGAUCCAGAUAAGUAAGAAGCAAGAAUAAUUUUAUAUUAAAUUAUAUUUUGAUUGUAUUCACUUAUGGUUGGUAUCAUGAUGGAUGCAUGCAUGCGCAUAACCUACACCUACAUAAUUGAAUUUAUGGAUGUGGUGCUCUAGACUAACUUUGAUAUUAUUUGAUUGCCCGUCGUGGGCUGGAAACGUGACCGUGGUUAAUCUAAAGCUGAAAAUUAAUAAAAAGGAUUGACGUGUGGAUGUGAAAUUGAUUAAAUAAACAUUGACUUUGGGUCGUCUUGUUCCUAUUGGUUUGUCCGUCACAGGCUCUAAGUGUGACAAUAUAGGUUUGCCCGUCACAGGCUCUAAGUGUGACAAUAUGGGUUUAUCCGUCACAGGCUCUAAGUGUGACACUAUUGGUUUGCCCGUCACAGGCUCUAAGUGUGACAAUAUUCGUUUGUCUAUCACAGGCUCUAAGUAUGACACUAUUGGUUUGCCCAUCACAAGCGCUAAGUGUGAUACUAUUGGUUUGCUCAUCACAAGCUCUAAGUGUGACAAUAUUGGUUUGCCCGUCACAGGCUCUAAGUGUGACACUAUUGGUUUGCCCCGUCACGGGCUGAAAACGUGACCGGAAUGUGGCCCAAAGUUAGAAAAAUAAUUGAUCCAGAUCAAGUUGAAAGAAAAAGCAUUGAAAACAGUAAUGAAGAUUUAUGAGCUAUCAUACGCAAUAUUAUUCUUGUGUGGCUAGAUUUUUAUUGAUGUUUGACGUACAUACUUAUAUUGUUUAUUUGAGGCUCUUGAUAUCCGGUUUAUGAUUUCAUGAUAUGUGCAUCGAUUUCUUGUGGUUUUCAAAUUCAUAUUAUUAUUGUAUUGGUAUGGAUGUGUAGGAAUUCUUACUAGACUGUAAAGCUCACCUCCCUUCUUCUUUCCCUUUUCAGAGUUGCAGGAUGUAUAGGCAUGGAUGGGUUGGGCGCGGAGUGCGAGUGUCAGAGUCAUCAAUUAGUUAGAUAAUUUAAUUGAUACCGAUGAAUAUUGAAAGUUCUUAUAAUUGAACAAAUUUGAUUAUCUGGACAUGUUGGAUUUGUCUAUUUAAAUUAAUUAAUUAAUUAUGGAUUUAUUGGAUUUUUGUUCAUCUUAGGCCUUGCAUGAUCUUUAGGGCACUAUUUAGGGCUCAUGCGGCUGGUUGCGUACCGGACCCGAGUGCUAGGUUCGAGGCGUGACAUAAAUAGCAGCAAUCAUCUUGACUAGGACUAUCACAGAAGUCAUACACUUGAGUACAAAAUAAUUGCUAUUCUUUGAGUAAAACAGUAGCACAGUCACUACCAUUUCAUUGAGAAUUUGAAAUGAUGGGAACAAAAUAAUAAUCAUUAAUCAAAUUCAAAUAACUAUUGCCAAAGGGAAAUAGGGUCAUUACUAAAGAUAAGUUCCACAAUGUGCAAAACAUGUUCGCCUUCAAAAUAAUAUUGUCAGCAACAGUAGCACUCCUCUUGAUACAAACCCUAUAUAUAUUAGCCCAGACGGUGGAAAAGCCAGGGGAUGCCGGUCUCUAUAUAUAUAUAUAUAUUUAUAUAUGCACACCCGCGUGCAUAUUGGUUGCAUGUCUCAUAGGCACAAACCACGCUAUUACUAAAUAAAUAAGCAAUAUGCAUUUAAUAAUAAUUCAUUUUUUAAAUUUAAACAUGACAAGAACAUAAGCAUAGGAAGAAAAUGGUAAGAUGCUCACAAGAAUAUCUUUUUUUUCAUCUUUUUAAGAUUUUGAAAGAACAACAAAGAUGGCCAAUGUAUACUUUUUCUUUUUCCCACAUCCAGACCAUCAAACUUCCAACUCGGUCGACUCGUGACGCAAGUCGACUCAGUAGAAAACUGGUUGUUACAGCAUCUAUAUUAUAUAGCACGAGACACCUGAAGAUUCUUAUUACCAGUCGACUCGCUUGAGUCGCUUUCUAAAUAAUUGAACCAAAAAAAAACAACAACAAAAGAUAUGCACAACGACUGAAUGUUCCUCUGCGGACAACCCCAGGUGAGGACAACACCAAGCCCAUGAGGACAAGAACCCAAGACCAAAACCAAGGAAAAGACUCUGAUACCCUCAAACACCAGAACAAGAAGCCGCCUUUCGCCCCACAAUUCCUCCAACUCCAAGGGCAAAUAAAAGAAAAACAAUCGAACAAGCCAGAAACACAGCGACAGGAGGUACCUUGUAGUGGAGCGGCACGCCGGUAUUAGGCCCGAUGCCUUUCUCCCCGGUGCACAGCGCCCUGAAGUUCUCCGCCGUCCUCGGCGCCACCCCGUCAUAGAGCUCCACCACGAUCCUCCCUUCCAUCUCCCCUCCGAUGCUGAUAUCCAUGUAGCACCGCGGAUUCGCCGCCCUCUUCUCCUCCCCUCCCUCCAUCUCUCUACACUCACUCACUCUCUCUCUCCUCCCCCCCAAUAAACCGCCCUCAGAAACCCUAAUCUCCCUCAAAUUUUCUUCUCCGUUGGAGCGCACCAGUGGCCUCCUUAGGAGAAGCGCUUUACAUUCAAAUCGAAACUCCCCCCUUCCUUUAAUAAUGCCCACGAUGGGUUAAUAAUAUGUUGACAUUAAUAAAUUCUUUUUAAAUUUUUUUUCCCAAUUUAUUGCGAGACUGGAUGGGGAUUAAUGGUGUGGAAUGUUGGCCCAAACGUGGGCGCAUAUGAGCUAUCUUGACACCAUCGGUACUGAGUUACAAGUUACCUGGCAGAUCUUCACCAUACACAAUGUGCCCUGCAAGCCAGCUUAAUUAUACUAAAGAAUGACUCGGCUACAGUGACUAAUUCGAUCUAGAAUAACCUGAGCAGUAUAGGGAUCAUUUCUUAAUUCGAGACAUCUGAACGAUGGAUAAAAAUGAGGAGGUCUUACAGACCAAGCAUGUAUUUAAAGAGACCAACGAGGUCACAGAUUGAGUGGCUACUUACGUGGCCAGCCAUUCUGGUGGUAUUUUAUAUAUUCGAGAGGAGGAGCUGCUUAAGGCACUUCGUGAUAUUUUGUUUGCUGGUUCUAUUGAAUGUGUUCGUACCAUGCAGUAUGACUCAUCCUCUUUAUCAGCAGCAAUAAUAAUAAUAAUAAUAAUAAUAAUAAUAAAAAUAAUAAAAUAACGCGUGCGCAAACCCUAGUGCGGCAUUUGGUGGGUUAUUGUGCUCUAACUCCUUGCGUGGGUGUGAUUAAUUAUGUUAUCUUUUCUUCAUUUCUGGGUUUGUUUACUGGAUGUGAUGAGUCAGCGAGGACAAGAUUUUUUUGGCUCCUUCCGGAUUGGUCGUUGGGGUGUCGGAGAGUGGCGUCCAGGGCUGCGAUCGAUGGUGGGUUGCACUUUUGGACGGUCCUGCGUGGCAUUUGGUUUACGAAGGUGGCAUCCUUAUAUACAAUGCGAGUUUGAAAGGUGUUAAUUAUUAGAAGUUUGUUUGGUCUUAUUAUAGAUUAGUUGGAUAAGCAUUGUCACUAUGAAAUAUGAUAUUUUUUGUUUUUUUUUCCUUCUUGGUAAGAGACGGAGAUCCAAGUCUCUAACUCUGCAUAUUGUUUAUUAGGAAGAGCGUGUUUGCUGGGCUAUUGUGCAAUUCUAGUACUCUUUCAGAAUGAAACUGGCAAAAGUAAUUUACCGAUUAGGUUUUCUAUUUGUGUGCGCGUUAAAAUGGAUGAAUAAUAUAAAUCUAAUAUGAGUAUAGCUUUAAAAGUUAAAAAAUAAAAUAUUAAAAAAAUAAAACCGUACGAUUUAUUUAAGUAUCUCAUCAUAAUGAUCGGCAAUAAAAAAAUGCAAUUUAGUCACGGUAUUAUACGUGCCACGAUAAAUAUAACUCAUUCUAAAGAUAAUAAUUAGAUUUAUUACAUAAUAUUUUUUAAGAUAAAAUAAGAAACCAAUGUAUUGGGCACUCUAAAAUAUAUAGUGUUGGAAAUGGAGAAAGGACAUGCAAGAAAGUUUGCAUGCACCAUCCUUAUAAAUAUCUAUCUACGGGGUAGAUAUUAAGAGGGAGGAGUACCCGGGUGCAUGUCAUUGGCUAGUGUGGGGCAUUAACAGUUACUUAAACGUAAAGCUAAAGGCUCUAAACAAAUCUCAACCACUCAGUUCUCUCUCUCUCCUAAUAAGAAAUCUUCAUUCUUAUAUUUUCUUUAGUGCAGCAAAAGGUGGAAGCUUACCGUCAAAUCUAAGAUCAAAAGAAGCUACAAAUUUGUUAACAGUUUCUAUGGUUUGCAUCUUUCUUUUUUUUUUCUUUUUUUUUUGAUACAAUGGUAACCCACACCAACAUGAGUAUAUCCGGAAAGAUAAAAAAAAAAGUAUCGAUGGAAGGAGGAAGAAACAAACUCAAGACUCUUCUAGAGAAACUUUUCUGAAUGGUGCGCAACAUAAGUGCAAUAUAGUCGGCAGCACUAUUCGUCUUCCAAGAUGAUACUAUCUUUAUUCAUUCAUUUAUUCAGGAGGAAGAAACAAACUCAAGACUCUUCUAGAGAAACUUUUCUGAAUGGUGCGCAACAUAAGUGCAAUAUAGUCGGCAGCACUAUUCGCCUUCCAAGAGGAUACUAUCUUUAUUCAUUCAUUUAUUCACCUCCGCCCCUACCCUGGAGGGUCCUCCCCUCCCCCCCCCCCCCAAACUAGAAAAGUAGGAUAAAAAACAGUACCCCCUCUGAUGACUUCUAAAUUUAUACGUGCAUGAAACCAUGCACCAUUAUUGACCUUGAACAAUAUUAUAUAGCUUUGAUUUCAUGGCUUACAAUUUCAAUCGAAAGUUUCCACUGUGGGGUCAUUCAUAAACAGCAUAAUCUUCUGCGGAUGAGAAGGCAUACCACCUCUCAGCCUCACAUCUUGGGUUCCACCAGCCUGCCACUCACGUCUUGGUGCACCAUUCAAGUAAAGUUGCGCUGCCUUUCCUAAAACCAUAGCCGCUGACCAAAACUCGAUGCACAUGACGGAGUCUACUGAUAGCAAGCAAUAUGCUCUGUUUAUAUGACGAAAUUUUUUUCGUUCUAAGAAUGGUGAAUUCGUUGCUCAAAGUUUCAAAAACAAUAAAUACAUAGCAUGUCAACAAACAACAAUGGUGAGUUCACUUGGAAAGGAGAACAUCAAAUACUACAAAUGAAUUCAAAUAACAUUUACUUCUUUGCUUUUAAGAUAUCUACUUGUCUCAAUGGUAACAAAGAAAAUAAAAAACACACUUUCUGACUUCCUUGCAUUGUACUUGGUGAACUAGGCGAUGCCCUUGGUCAAAUCCCUCCUUUCAUUGAGAUGGUGGUUCUCCAUUCAUUUGCAAUAUCUGGACUUGGGUACCUUAUCUCGAGUAGGACCUCUUUCCCUUUCUCUUCAACCCAUUUGUUUAUUUGUUGGCCUGUUUUCCACAAGCAAUGUCAUUGCCAUUCUCCCCUUUAACGCCUGGGAUUUUUCAUGACCUCGGAUUUUUCCUUCUAUUAUUUCAAGCAUCACUUGUCAGAUCCACCCUCUUAUAAUUAAGGAGACCAUCACCCAGUCUACAGACAGCUUCUUUGUUGUGCAUAUAUGGUGAUGAAGAAGCUUUCUCUACAUCAAAUGAUAUCUGCUACAAAGUAUAAACAUGACUUUAUGUCAAGAAGCCCCUGUGACCAUUGAUUCAGUGAUGGUAGAACUAUACCUGACCAAUCUAUCAUACCGGCACUUUCUCAAGGGUGGUCAUAUCUACAAGAGACGUCACCAAGCAUUGUAACUUUCUUGUCAAUGCUUCAUCCAAAAAAAAAAAGCUUUCUUGUCAAUGCUGGUGUCAAGAUUUGAAUAGAAUAUUGUAGUGCCUGUGCCUGUCUAACAAAGCCCACUGAUCUGUUUCUGAGAGACCAUUCUAAUUACAAGGCCUGUAAUGUGAACUUCAGUCUUCCUCCACUCGGGGAAAAAAAUAGAGCCAAUGCUGACCGCACUUUUUGAUACAACAGCUCUUAGCAUUUCAGAAAGGCGCUCAACUUGCAGCAUUAACAGUAACCCAACCGGGGCUUCAUUGCAAGGCACUGUCUGGAUAUCACCCAGAUGCUAGUAAAUCCCAUGGUCUAGCUCCAAAUGAUUGAUACUUGGGCUAGCUCAUGGAAUCCCUCACAGAUUUCGUGUUGUCGCUAUUUGGCUCAUUAUUGAUCCAAUCAGAGAAAGAUUUUCUUCAAGUCGUUCAACUCGAAUCUUCAUAAUAAAACUAGAACAAGAUGGAAGAAUUACGAAAGUAGGGCCUAAGUCUCAUUUUCUUUUAUUAAUGAUUAAAAAAAUCAAAAUACAUAAUCUAUAUUUAUAAUAGUGAAGUCUGCCUUUAUAUGAUUUGGGUCGGAUGCCCCUUUUUAAUCUUAAUAGAACUUUAUUUUCUAAAAUAGAUAUCAUUAGUAGAAAUCUUCUACAAAAAGCUAAAGUUAUGGAAGAAGUAGAUCUUGACUUCUACAUUAACUCUAUCUUCUAAUUCUUCUUGGAUAAAGAAGUACGUCCGACUAAAAUCUUAUCCAAAAAAGAAAUUUUUUGAUUUGACCGGUCCGUUUUAAAUCUCAAACGAUAGAAUUUGUACUCGAUCACUAGGGGCCUCGCCCUCUAAAAGGCGUAGCAUCAUGUCGAAGAUCUUGACAACUGCCCGAUUUUAAAAAAAAAACGACCAUGUCAAUCAAACGUCGUACCACCAAGUUACGGCCUUCGGAAGUUUUGGGCACGACUCAAUUUUCUGAUAUGGCGGAUCUUGCUUCUAAACUCUAUCCAGCCUUGCUCGUAGUGGCCAAAGUAGUUCAUAUCGAUAUGAAAAUCCUCCUAAAUCAACUAUGCUCUUGUUACUCGGAACAACUUGCCCCCAGUCCUCCUAUCACCCGUUCCAUUUUAGAGAUGGUAUACCAAUAUAGGAGGCGAAAUAGGCAGCCCAUUGGUAGCGUGUUAGGGUCAGUAGGUAACGUAGGGCCACCAAUCUGCCACCAACCCUACCCCACUCUCUUCAACCAAUGAAAGGCUCAGGCGAGUCAUAAAUCUUUCAUCUUGAGCUGGACUGCUAUGGGGCUGUCCCCAUAACUCACUAGGAGAGAUAUCGACCAAUUAUAAAGGAACCCCCAGUCGUCCAACCAUGCUGAAACUUGGCUCAGCUCGAGUACAGGAGACAAAAGUACACCAGCCAACAGUGGGAGGGCAUUCAUACAGAAUAUUGCAGCCAUCAAUGCCUUCCUCUCUUGCAAACACAGCCAUUCAUGCAGUGGGAGGGCAUUUCAUACAGGAUAUAAGAUCUAUCAAUGCCUUCUUCUCUUGCAAACACGGCCAUUCAUGCAAUCCCCCAUGAGUGCUGAACAUCUGCAAGUGGUAGGAAUUCACUCCACGGCAUCAGACUGAAUUUUUUUAAAAUAUUCUGAGACUCACCUCAAGACAGAAAUAUGGGUUAUAUGUUUGAAUUGAUCUCUCAAACAGAACAAUUCAACCAGAUCAGCCGACUACGUCACCCUCGCUCUCUAAUCACCAUUACAUCAAAAAUUAUCUCUAAGUACCAUGUUAAUGUGGGCGAGAUUCAAAACCAUGGCAGGCAAAUUGAACAACUUUUAUUGAGAAGCAUAUCCACAGUCAUUAUCCGGCAAACAGACAUGUAGAAAUGAUGCUAGUUUUCAAAACAGAACAAUGGUUCUCUACAUCCUGUGAUCUAUCGGUACUUCAUGUCUGCACUGCCUAAUUAUAGUAUAGGUUGAAAUAUUACUUGUUAAAAUUGUUUUUUAUCUGCAGAACUUGUAGAUGCAGCAUUGCCUCAUUCUAUUUUUCUUGCAUUCAAAAAUCCAGUAUCAUCUGAUGCUCAUCCUACACUCACUACAAGUCGGCGAGCUGCUCAGAUGGUGCUAUCUUGGUUUAUUUAACUCAUACAAUGCUACUCCAUCCUGUUGCAUGAAAAAAAAAUCUGAUAAAUCGAAGAAAAAUAAUUGAAUACUUUUGCAGAACCCUGGUAUUAUUCAGUAAUGUUGUAAUAAACAACAGGCCUCCGGCCAUUUUAAUAUGAGACGAUGAAUUUAUGCAGUCUAUACCUGAAGAGGAAGGCCACUUUGAUAACAAAGCACGAGCUAACAGACUAUAUGCAGAUUCACUGUUUACAGUACUAUUUUCACAAUUGGGCACAUAGAAAACUAGGUUCCUCCCCUUAUUUUCCCGUUCCUUUUCUGCUACAUAUUUGCUAUCGAACCACCAAUUUAGAAUUCUUUGGUCCACCAUUUUUGUGAAAAAUUUGUUGUCCACACAUCUUUGGUAAUCAUCAAGUUCACUGUGUCAUCAUCAUAUUAUGGCAGCCAGUUAUAACCAUGCUAUUUUUUUGGCAUUAUUAUUUCAGCCUUGCAAGCAUGCAAAAAAACACGAGUCAGGAAAGCAGCAAUGCAACAAUGUGUGCAGUUCUUGGUUGAGCCAAAUAAUGACGUUCGAUCACUAAUGAGACUUGGAUUAUGCUUGAUCCCUUCACUUAGUUUUUUCAGAUAUGAGCUUAUUUCGUUCCUCAAGGUCAUCCAUAAAUGUUCUUCUUUCACUUAAUAUUGACAUGGUAGAUCCUUGAUUGAUCCUAAUUCUUGUUGCAUUCAGAAGUUUAGCACAUACAGAUAUGGAAUCUGAAUGCAUAUUUGCAUCAGGAACUUGUGUCUCUCAUGCAUUAUGUUGCUGAAAUUCUUUGGACAUUGACUCCUUGCAAGGUUGGUCUAUAUAACUUAUAUUAGCUUUCUCUGAUCAUGCAUUUUUGUGGACUUACUAAAACUAAAUUUUUGAAUCCAAGUUUGUAAAAUAGCUUCAACAAACCUGAGGGGGAAAUUGAGGGAAAAGGAAGGUUUCAAGACCCACUGUUGGUACUCAAACUUGUUGCUCUCAUCAUUCCAAUCCCUCAGCCAAAUGAUUGCUUGAGGUCAUUAAAUGUUCUUUUGUUUGAACUUCUAUUGAAGUAUGUUUGUGCAAAUAGCAUUGCUCAAGGUCAUUAAAUAGUCUCCCAAUCAGGCGGUCUCAUGUUAUUUAUCAUGGGAUACUGGCAUACAUUUGGAUUUUGGAGCCAUAUACCUAGAAUAUGGUGGUAUUGCUACGUAUGAGUUGAAUUUGCGAUCUCACCACUGAGGAUAGGGUUGUCACUGGAUUCCAUCAGCAACUAACUUUUUUGGAGAGGCCUGUUUCAGUAUUAGAGCUUUGGGACAGUCAAAAAAAAGUUGUCAGGUCCCGGGGAUGGUUUACUCGGUGGCUGUAAGAAGUGCUGCGAACCUUCCACUAGGUUGAUGGAAAAAUAAUACCUCAUGCCAUUUGGGUUGGUAUAUUUAUUUCUUCAUUCUUCUUUUUCCUAUCUGUCUGUCCAUCUAUCUAGAGAGAGAGAGAGGCCCCCAUCGAUCAACUAAAGAAUGAAGAAUGGCAGUAGAUACAUCCGACAAACAAUAUAACCAUCUAGCCGGGUAGAAGACAUCAACAUCCACAGGCAGGUGCUCUACCAUGGAUCCACCGAUAAUGAGAACACUCUAAAGCACAGGCUGAAGCUCUUUCAUUUAUCAGGGACACCUUAGUCCAAUCUCUCAACAGAGAUUUGAUGUGAUGUUGUGAAUGAUCUGAAGAGCAGAGCACUUGAAGCAAACAAAAGCUCCUUUAGCAUGCAGUGGCUGUCAAAAGUGCCCCAUCCCCUUCUAAAUGAUGGACUAAAUUUUCUUUCUUUUCAUUGUUAACACUGAGAAACAAGAUUUUCCUCUACUCUCUCUCCUUGUACAUCCUCAACCAAAAUUUGAACAUGAAGGAUCUCCAGUGAUGCUCCCACAGGUAUGCAGAUAUCCAAGUACCGGCAGCUAAGGACUCGGACCAUGGCCAACUUGUUUAUAAUCAUAGUUUUGUAUAGGUGCAGCUCUGCGCAAAUCCUCACUCAUCCAAUGACCUAUGUAGAUCAAAUGGAUAUAUGCACUUUGUCUAUAAUUGAGAUGUACAUUGGUAUCACUUAAGCAAAUCGAAUGAUUCAUAAUGUCCAAUUAUCUGAUGACAACCCUCCAUAAUUUUGUGGACAUACAAACAGUGGACCUUUUAAUUCAACAUUAAUUCAGUGCAUAUUUUUGGAACGACUGGUGCUAAAUCUUAAUGCCUAUAGUUUUGAGUCUUCCUAAUAAACCAGUAGGAAUAUCUAUAUUUGUCUGUUUCUCUAGCUAUCUAUAUAUCUGAUAAUCUAAUGAUCAAACGAUCCAUCCAUGUAUAUCCAUCUAUCUACCUGUUGGUGCUAAAUCCUAAUGCCUAUAGUUUUGAAUCUUCCUAAUAAACCGGCAGCAAUUUCUCUAUCUGUCUGUUUGUCUAUCUACCUAUAUAUCUAAUAAUCUAAUGAUUGAACGGUCCAUCCAUCUAUAUAUACAUACAUGCAUAUGUACAUAUGCACAUGUACAAACAUAGAUGCAUAUAUGCAUGCAUGCCUACAUCCAUGCAUUCAUCCAUCUAUCCAUUCAUCCAUACAUGCAUGCAUGCAUCCAUCCAUCCAUCCAUCCAUGAAUACAUGCAUGCAUACAUACAUCCAUGCUUACAUGCAUGCAUACAUAUUAGUAAAUGACAUGGAUCCCACAUCAGUGAUCCAAGCUUUUGGAUGCAACUACUACUUCUAAACUGCUUAUGCACUGAUUUGGAGACCCCUAGCCUAGGCAUCAAGUCGUCAAUUUUUGCGUGUUAUUUAAACUAUCCAAUUUUUUGACCACUUGAUGCAUAAGCUAAAGGUCUCCAAAUGACAUAAUUUUGUUGUUUAAGCAGUUAGAGAUAGUCAAUCACAUCCAACAACGUGGAUCAUCUAUAUUGGAUCCCCAUAACCCAAUUCAAAAAAGGUGUAACUCUAUAAAAGUCACACCAGGUGUAACUAGAAUGAUAUCAAAGAUUUUAUGCUCAAAAUUUAUUUAUUUUGACGUUUUCUUUUUCUCGACUUGAGAGCCUGCAGGCAUAACUGCCCAAGAACACAUUUGACAUGAGUUUCAAAGCAGCCUGACCAGUGUAUAUUGAAAAAAAUCUAUACCAUGAGCUACUAGAUUAAUUACUGAUUCCUUUUCUUUUUCGCUAACAAAAAUCAAUUUUGUUGCUUUGCUCUAUGCUAAUUUUGAACAAAUAAGUUGAGAUUCACAUCUCCAAAGAGUCUUUAUAUUUUAGAAUCUGCAGACUUAGGUCCUGUUUGGUUGGUGUAAGUGGACCAAGCAGGAGCCUAAUUCACUGAAGUGGCUUCAGCUCCCCCGGACUGAAACCACUUCACGCUUUUUCUCCCUUAAAUUGGGCCACACAGAACUCAGUUCAUCUCCAUUUCAGACCAAUCAAACACC